UCCUCCUCCUCUUCUUCUUGUUCAAAGCUGUCUUCCUCUACUUCUCUGCGAUUUCCGGCGCAGCUUCGACGUGUUCGGAUCGGAACUCAGGACUCACGGCCUCGGCUUCUUCCUCCGGUAAUGAAUUUUCCGUUUUUGUAGUUUCGUAGUCUGUUUGUUUCCCGAGAAAAUCGAGGAAUUUAACCUGAUGAAAUUGUGUAGCGUUAAAAUUCCUGUUCUAAAAUUUCUGUGUUUUGUAGUGGAAGAGAUUGCAAAAUUUAAAUUUAGGAAGCAAAGCAUACAACUGCAAAUCUUGUUGUUAUCAUAUUUAUGGCCCAAACACCAAUUGCUUUGUAUUUCUUUGGUCCUUGCCGUUUCCUAUGAGUUGUGAGAAAAUCACAUGGGUCGGUUUUCGGAGUUUCCAAAUUUUAGUCUUUUCAAGAGAAUAAAGACAUUUAAUCGAAAAGUGCAGGAAAAGUAAACUCAGAGGAUGGUUUGCAAGACAUAGAUUUAGCAUGCUACAGGAGGCAUGUGGAAUAUAGAGCUUAAGGACAUGGAACUCACUAUUGAUUGUCUUUGAAAUGGUUUUGUACUUGAUUUUGGCGCACGCAGUUGAUUUUUUAGACUAUCGGUAAACUAAUUUGGAAUCAAACCUCUCUCAAACAAUUAGAAUGCACAAUGUCACCGAUAUAGGAUAUUAGGUUGCAUCAGUUUGAUCUUCCCCCAUUUUCCAGGUAAAGUACCUUUUCAUGAUAACCGUUUGGGGCAUAAAGUUGGGAAGGGACAACCUAGAACCAAAAUUAUUGAAUGGGAUGAAAGGUGUAGAUUGUAAAACUUGGAUAGUAUAUCUUGUAACGAUUUGAAUGAUAGAGACAGUGAGCAAAUCCAUAUUCGGGGCCUUCAUGCAUGGACUCGAGUGUUCUUUAAUCAUCUAAUCAGAAGCCGAUUGUUUAUACCAGUCAAUCGACGGUCCUCCUAUCACUACUGGCUUUGCCUCAAGUUACAAGUGAAGUUUCAAUUCAGGAUGAUGACCUAUCAUGUUGAAGAUCAACACCAGCCCAAUUGGUGUUUGGAUUCUAGAAGAUUCUAGCAGCAAGUCUAGAGGGCAGAGCUUCCUGAAGACUUGCACUUUGUCCAGGUGCAAUGGAACUAGAUUUUUCUAUAGAAUUAUCUAAAGCUAAGUAGUCUUUUGUAGAAAGGAUUAGAAGGAUGUUUCUUAUGUCGGUGGAAGGCUGUGUGCAUGAUCAAUGCACUAGAAAGUUCUAGUGAUAGUAUAAGUCGGCAAACAUGCCUUAUAAAUAUGUAUGUAUGAGUGUUGUAAUGUAACCAAGAAGAAGUAAGAGAGCAAACCAAGAGAGAGCUAAGUAAGAGAGUGAGAAGCCUUGUAAGUGAGUAGUCUUGUAAAGAGUGUGAGUGGUCUAGAGUUUGUCUCUAGAAGUGAGAGAGUGUCAUACGUUCUAAAUUGUGUCCUUGAUAGUUGUUGUGUUGUAAUAUUCUGUGAGUUAAUACAAGUAAUUUGUUUACUUGUUUUGUCUCUCCAACACUUGUGUUAGAGCUGUGUAUUCUAGUUUUUCCUCAACAUAUCACUUAGGUGGUUAUCCAUAUGGACCAUGUUGUGACAGUUUCAAUAGCUGCGUGUACUCUUUCUUUGCUGUCUUUGGAAUAUUUAGCCUGUAUAGCUGAAUUACGAAGUGUGACUGAAUUGGUGAUUCAGUAAUUACAUGUAUAUGUGGAAAAAAAAUUACUUUUCGUAGGUUGAAGCAAAGAAGCAAACAUUUUCAUCCUUCCAAGAUUUGCUGGCUACCUCUGAAAAACCUGUGUUGGUUGACUUCUAUGCAACCUGGUAAGCUUUUCUUGUGUAUCUCACUUCUUAUUUUGUUUGCAAUUUGUCAUUAUUGUUGUAUUGUCAGCUAAACUUUAAUUCCUAAACAAGGUGGUAGCUAUUCACCUUUUAGGUUUUCCCUCUCUAUAUAAAGGUAAGAAUAGACAAUUAAGUAAUAAACUCUGGUUGACAGGUGUGGACCUUGUCAAUUUAUGGCACCCAUCCUCAAUGAAGUCAGUAUUACGCUGAAUGACAAGAUCCAGGUUGUGAAAAUUGACACAGAGAAGUAUCCUAGCAUUGCUGAUAAAUAUAACAUACAAGCAUUGCCUACUUUCAUCAUAUUUAAGGAUGGAGAGCCAUUUGACCGCUUUGUAAGUUGAAUUUGUUCUCUUUUUUCCUUUGGGAGAUUAAUAUGUUUGCCUUUGGUAGACGAUCAAAUGUCUAGAAAUGUGUAAUCUGUCACAUAACAUCUCAUACUGAUUGCAUGCUUUUUAUACGGCCAGAAUAUGGACGGGUAUUGUCAAGUUGUUACGAUUUGCUGUUAAUUCCACUUUUUAGAUUUUGUAAGAUAUCCUAUGCACUUGCAUUGGUUUACAAUUUCGUCAGGUGUGUUGCUUUGCAUGCUUUUCUUCUUCUUUUGCUUAGUUUUGAUUCGAAGAUGUUGAAUUUUAAGGAUUUAUGUUCUCUUAGAUCCAAAAUAUUAAAUAGAAUAAAUAAUGUAUGUUCUCCGUGCAUGUAUGCAAGGCACUGUUAGAUUAGUUUUGGCGGUUUUUCUUUUUGGUUUUUUGGUCGAUUUUAAAUAUCUAUGAUGACUUUGCUUUCAUUACUUGCAGGAGGGUGCUAUGACUGCUGAUCAGCUUGUCGAACGAAUAGAAACUACUUUGAAAGUUAAGUAGGAGACAGGUGAGCUCUAUAAUAUUCGUGAGUUGAGAGCACUCGUAUCGUCCGCUGUUCUUUCUCUGCUUCCUCCUCCCCAUUUCCUAACCUUUCCUUUUUCUUCACUCUUCAUUUAUUGGUCCAGCUUCUCAGGUUGAACCGAGAAGCUGAUCGAUUCAGCCGCAUUGCAAGAAAAAUGGAUUUUAUGAAGAAAGGCACUGGAUGUUUCCUCUGCUUUUUUAUUUUUUGUAUGUAACUGGUUUGUACCAACAAAAAAGUUACGAGACUUGGCGUAAUCGCACGGGUAAAGCUUAGUGAAAACAAUUUUACGAUGUCAGUUUCUGUUGUGAUAUACACAUCCACAUCAGUUGCAUUUGAUUGAAAUUCAUGAUUUGGAAAAGUUAAUGAAAUUUUGUGGACAUUCAUUUCAUUUGCAAUGCAACUUAGACCUUAUUGGCAAUUGGUUUGUGGACACAAGAUUUACUACUUAAUUUGGAUACCUUGUCAAAUUAGAGUCAAUAAUUAACAAUGGCAUAUCUAGUAAGAAGUUAUUUCUGCAUGCCUCCCUUCCCAUUUCCUACGGCUGUUUAGCUUGCAAGCACACAAAUCAUUUGUAAUAAAGAUAUGCAAAUACGAGAUCAAAUUCAUCGAGAUUGAAUGAACAAUAAUUUGGUAUCUUAUGUUUAGCUGCGGACAUGACUGACCUCAGGAGGUCUCAAUGGAAAAAAUUUCAGAAAAAAUGUAGACAAAAGUAACAUUGAGGAAUUAAAUGAUAAUUCUUUUCAUUCGUAAAUAAUAGUGUAAACAAUGUUAUUACAAUCUACAAAGUCCAAAAUUAUCAUCGACGAGUUUUCAUAUUUUGAAAAUGUUUAUGAUAGUUUCAUACUCAACGAUCAAUCCACAACUCUAAUAACUGAAAUUUGAGAAUAAUGAGUACAAAUAGUGAACUUGAUACACUAGGAAGCUUAAGGAGGUCCCAGAAAGUCCAUAUUCGGGGCCUUCAUGCAUGGACUCGAGUGUUUCUUAAUCAUCUAAUCAGAAGCCGAUUGUUUAUACCAGUCAAUCGACGUCCCAGAAAGUCCGCUCUUCUGCUUCGACGUUGCUGAACCCGCUCUACCAUGGAGACGGCUCCCUCCUCGUCUUCCUACCCAUGGCACGGGUUUAGUCCUCCUUGAUGGUCAGCUAAUGUUCACCUAAGCUUUCGCACUUAGUAAACAAGCCUUCACUAGUUGCCUGGAACAUAACUACUAUUACUAUGAUGAUUAUUACGCCGACCACCACGGCGUUUAUAAUGCUUCUGGUUCUAAUUGGGGUGUAGUAGCCUGUCAACUGUCCAGUACCGAUUCCGAUGACUUCGGAACUUGGAUUAAGCCCAUCCAAAUUCUGGAGCCAAGGUUGCCGAGUGAAUUUUGGGGGCGAUGCACACUUAUAGCUUUGCUCAUCUAGGAGGUUCAAAAGUAUGCUUUGUUCUUUCCAAUCCCAUCUCGCACCCAAAAAAAAUUUGUCUUUGGAAGGUGCGUCUUCUUGUUCAAACUUUUGAGUUUUCCUUCUCCAAACAAAGUACCACCCUCACUAGUGCUGCUUUAUUUUAUUGUUUUUUAUUUUUUGUUUUUUUUGGAAAACCUUAAUGGUAUAAGGGUAAUUUUAUUGAUAACAAAAAAAUAAGUUACACCUAGACAGAAGGGGACAUAAACCUUACCCCUCAUAAAACAGAGACAAUAAAUAGGAAUACACGAAAAAGAAGGGGGAACAUAAACCUUACCCUUCUAGAAAUAAAAAACGAGAAUGAUACAAAGAAAAGAGGGGGGGGACAUGAAACAUAAUCCCUCUAAAACCAAACCUAAAGGUCUAAACUUGCAAAACAAGUCAAACAACCCCAUAAAGUUAGGAGAAAAAAAAAAGUGAGACAAACCUGGAUGCCGACAUGCACAUUAAUUUGAGAAGCAAUAACCAGGCAAGCCAACAUAGUCUGAAAACAAAGCAGCACAAACCGCCAUCGGAGGAGAAUCAUGCCAAGUUAAAGAUGGAGAAGACAAUCCCAUGUUAGCAAAAUUGUCUGCAACAAGAUUUACUUCACGAUGUACAUGAGAUACAUAGAAAGUCAUUUUCCGAAUACGAUCUAAACAAAUAGACCAUUGCGUAUGAAGAGGCCAAGGAGGAUCAAAAUUAGACGAUUGAAGAGCAUAAAUAACACUAGAACUAUUACUUUCAAACCAAAGACAAUGCCAACCCUAUUGAUAUGCAAACUCAAUACUAAUAAUAAUUGCUAAUAACUCUGCAAAAAAAAAAAAAAAAGUUGCGAUGACCAAUGCAUUGACAGAAACCUCCAAGAAAACAACCAUGACAAUUCCUGAAAAAUCCUCCACAUGUAGCAGGAUCAGAAUUUCCUUUAGACAAACCAUCUGUAUUAAGCUUAAACCAAGGAAACCAAAGGACAGGAAGAAUAGUAGGUGCCUUGCGAGGGAUAGGUUGGAUCCCCAAAGAAGAAAUGAUCCGAGUGUCAAAACCUUGAGAAUAACCAGAAAUAAACUUCCCACCAUGAACAAUCGCCGAAUUGAUAGAAAUGCAAAAGACGAUGAAAAUAGAUUGGACGACCCUAAAAAAUAAAUUUAUUUUGAGCCUUCUAAAUAGCUGAAAUAGUAGAAAGACCCGCAAAAAUCCAUAGAUUGUGCAACUGUUUGGAAAAUGGCUUACAGACAUAGACAUCCCAAAAAACAACCAAAGAAUCUGAAAGAGGCAAAAAUGUACCAAAUUAACAUACUAACCACCUCCAAAGUUGCCUAGAUAUCUGACAUCCAAUGCUGCCGAUGAUGGUGAUGAUUAUAAUUAUAAUGAUGGAGGCUGCGAUUCAAAAAGAUCAUUCGAUUUCUCCUCUUUCAAAGCCGACAUCCUCUCCACUCGCAACUUUGAAUACGAUUGGUGCGGAGAAUCUUUUGAGACUGCUCACGCAGCCGUGCUUGGUUGCUUUGCCCUGUAAGUUUCGUCGGUAAGGUUAACUUUCCAAUUCUAUCCCAUUUUCUGUAUUUGCUUUCUCCUGCGUGCGGCCUUAACUUGUAACUGUACUACGUAGGAAAGCAUUAGUCAAUGUAUUUCCUGUGCACACACUAUCACUUGAGGAACAAGUUCGACUGCAUUGUUUGCGAUUUAAGUCAAUCUAGACCCUGCAUUGCAACUCGCAUUGGGUCUUACUGGAACUACUUACAGCGAGCAUGCAAAACCCCCUGCGUGUUGAUUGAGGUUCUGAGGGGGAACACUCCAUCAAGCACGUUGAAGAUAUGGUCUGUAGCAGCAUUGCUUGGAAAUUGGAAAUUGGAGAUCUGCCUAGCUAGCUACUAUUUCUGUGUCUAGCUCCUCAUGUAGUUUUCUGUUAGGUAAUUUUUUUUUUUUUUUAAAUGGAAGAACAGGCAUUUUAUUAAAUAAAAAAAAAUAUUUAGUCAUAUUUUUAGGCUUAUUAUAUUUAUACCCUACAUAUUGUUGAAUAAACCUUAUAUACUUAAUACACCUCAUAUUUACUUUUUCAAUUAAAAUUUAUCUUAAUACACCCCAUUUACUUUCCCAUAUUACCCUCCCACCCCCAUUCUCAACAUACACCUUACAUUUUCUAUAUACACCCCAAAUUUUUUAUAACUCAGUCACAAUCAAGAUUGGAGGAAGAUAAGGCUGCUGAGACUUUGUUGAAGGUGGCAGACGAGGUUAUACGCUGAGGUUUAAUGACAAAAAUUCGAGGGUAAAAGCAGCAAGGGAAAGGAGAACAAUUAGAGGGUCUCUUGUAAUGUGAAUGGCACUAGGACUUUGCCCAGAUUGGCAAAAACGUAGCUGAAUGUUGAUGUAGUUUUAUUGCAUUUUCAGAUGUAUGAAAAAAAAAAACAUAUUUAUUUAUUGGUGUUGAAUUGCAGAACAAAGAUUGUGUUUAGCCAUUUUAUUACUAUUAUCAUUUCUUUAAAUUGGGGUUAUGCCGUGAGAUGAUAUACAUAAGGAAAUAUUGUUAAUUUCUUCGCACUCCAUUCAAGUUCUAACCUUGUAGUUUCAUCAUUUUGCUUGCCUUUGCUGGGAAGACAAAAAAAAUAGAUAAAUAAUACGUUAAAAGUGAUUUGAGGUUUAUUCAGAAUUUUUUUAUAUUUUUAAAAAACUAAUAAGGUCAAAAUUGACAUUGUAUAGAGUGUAUAAGUUAUUUAAUAUCGAAUUUGAAUGUGAGGUGUAUUUAUCAGUACGGAUGUGUACAUCUUUUAUUGGCACGGAAGUACUUAUCGAUUAUGCAUUGAAUUUUUUAGUAAUUUAAUUCAAAAUGUGAAGUAGCUUUUGUAAAGUUACCGAAAGCGCCGUGACGGAGAUGAAGAUGGAAAUGGUGUAAAACUUUUGACGAGUUGAACCGAAAGCGCCGUGACGGAGAUGGAGGUGGAGAUGGAGAUGAGGGCCGGGGAAGAAAUAGAGAUAGGACAAGACAUAACGCCACCGCUCCCUCCGCUUUCUUCCUCUCUCCACCACUCCCUCCUCUCAUCUCACUGCUCUUCCUGCUUCUCCCCUCUCCCUCCCCAACCCUUCCCUCCCCUCUUUACUCCUACCUUUCCCAACACUCCCUCCUCCUACUACUGCUCCUCCCUCUGCUCCUCCGCCGAUUCUCCCCUCCACGUCUCCAGCGCCGAGCCCUACCUUCUCCUGCUUCUCCAAUCCCACCCCUCCGCCUACCCCAACGGCGACUCCUCCGACCUCCGCGCCGCCCUCCGCCUCCUCCAAUCCCUUCCCGCCACCUCCCCCUACCCUCGCGUAGCCGGCCUCCUGACGAAUCGCCACAAACUCCUCCACCACCACGACCAUAGGGUUCGCGACGGCGCCAGAGCCAUGUUCCUCGCCAGGAAGAUGCGGGAUGAAUCUCCGAAUUUCUCUAUCGAUGCGACUAUUGCCAACGUUGCUCCGCACGACGCCGUAUUGGAGGAGGCCGUGCUGUCAUUGGUGCUAACGAACGCCGUGGAGGUGCAGGAUAAGACCGGGCGCACCCUUGGAAUUUCCGUCUACGGUCCCAGCUUCUGCUGGAUCAACCACAGCUGCUCCCCGAAUGCUUGCUACCGCUUUUCUUUGAUGACACCGCCAACGCCACCUUGUUGGCCCGAAACGGCGCUGCUGCGCAUUGUCCCCUUCGGCCGCUCCUCCGGUCGUGCCACACAAGUAAUCCCUGCAAAUUUGCACCGUUUGUUUAAUUUAUAGUGGAAUAAGAUUGAAAUUCAGGGUUGUGAGAUGGAUAUUUGUUGCAGAUUGAGAAUGGUGUUUGUAGCAAUAAUGUGUUAGCAAAAGGUGUUGUGGUUUUUUUAAGUUUUCGUGCUUCUUUUCGGUUUUUGUUUGUUUGAAUUAGUACACCAAAUUUACCAGUAUUAUUGAACCAUUCGUGUAUAUUACGAAUGUAGAAAGCCGAGGUUAUGGUCCAAGAGUGACGGUUAGGAGCAUCAAGAGAAUCAAGAAAGGCGAAGAAGUGACUGUUACUUACACUGAUUUGUUGCAGCCUAAGGUAUCUGCAUUUUAUCUAUAUACACAUUAUACAUGGAUCAGCGAUUGGAAUUUUGAAUUCAUAUAAUCCACAUCUGUUUUGUCAAGUUAACUGAGCGAUGUUUCGAUGACUGUGAGAUGAGAAUUUGCUAGUGUCAUUUUCUGCUUAUUGUCCCUGUCUUAGGAAACUAAACUUGAUGAGACAAUGCAAGGCAAUCCGACUUCUUUCCACUUUAGGGAUUAGCUAAAUCUUGCCCCAUUUGACUUUUCUUUUACUUAUUUCCAAUUUUAAUUGUGUUGAUGUUAUAUUUUAAUCCCUUUCUUUUAACGUCACAUUUUCUUUUCUUCUCAUGAGCUCCUCCAGGCAAUGAGGCAGUCAGAGCUAUGGUCAAGGUAUCGGUUUAUCUGCUCUUGUACGCGAUGUAGUGCAUCACCCCUAACCUACGUGGAUCAAGCUUUGGAGGUGGCAAUUCAUGAAAACUUUUUCUUUCUUUCUUGAUAUUCUCAAUUAAAUACUAAUUCUUAAGUCUAUUUGGAGUUCUUCCGUAAUAUCUUUAUACUAUUGAUUUUACAGAAAUUAUAAAUGCACUAGGAUAUUUGUACUUCUAGAUUCUUGUUUUUGUAUCCCCCCCUGUAUAUAGUUUGGCCUUCACUUUGAACAAAAGCUCUUUUUCAACUUGAACAUGAAUUACCUCCUAACCAUUUUUCUUCCUCUCUGGCAGUCAACUUUAUUUCCUAGGAUGUAGCUAAUGUUCUUAUUGGUGUUUUUUGAAUAAUCAUUAACCUUCGGUUUCAAAACUCCAGGAAAUAUUUGCAGUCAAUUCCAACUCCUCCAGUUUGAGUUUAGAAAUAAACUUCAAUAGAGAUAAGGCAACGCAAUUGUUGAGUGUUUACUUUGAUGAUGCUAUUGACGACUACCUGUCGAGUGGCGAUCCUGAAUCUUCUUGUGAGAGGCUUGAGCAUGCGUUCACACAAGGACUCUCUGAUAUGCAAUUAGAUUGCAACGGAGAAACAUCUCAGCUGAGAUACUGGUUGCACCCAUUAAAUUACCUCUCCCUAAAUGCCUACACAACAUUGGCUUCAGCGUAUAAAAUCCGUGCAACUGACAUGAUAGCUUUAUGUUCUAAAAUGGAUGAUCAUCUGUUAAAAGCUUUGAACUUAAGCAGGACUAGUGCAGCAUACUCCUUACUACUUGCUGGUGCAACUCACCAUCUGUUCCGCUCUGAAUCGUCUCUAAUUGUAUCUGUUGCAAAUUUCUGGACAAGCGCAGGGGAGUCAUUGUUAACUCUUGCUAAAAGCUCAGUCUGGAGUGAGUUUGUCCACCGGGAUCUGCCUGUGUCAAAUCCAUGUUCCACUGCAAGUUAUAGAUGUCCAAAAUGCUCAUUGAUAGACAAAUUUGAAGCUUGUUUAUUCUAUGGUCAAGUUCAACAUGCAGAUUUUGACGAUGUCUCAAGUGAAUUCAUUGAUUGCGUCUCUAACUUUACACAGAAUGUUUGGAAUAUUUUGGCUCUCAGUUGCCAGUACCUUAGAUUGAUUAAGAGUCCUAUUGAUUUCAGUUGGCUUGGUACCACAAAAGAUUCCAGUGUAGGGGAAGUUCUGAUUCGGUCUAGUGGCACUAAAGCGGGUUCUUGUGGGACUGAGAGAAGCAUUUCUGGAAGUGAAGCAGAGGGAUACACAGCCCAGGUACGGAUAUGUAUUUUUAAGCUCGGUGUCCAUUGCUUACUAUAUGGAGGAUAUCUAGCGAGCAUAUGUUAUGGUAAUUCCCAUUUGACCUGUUAUGUUCGUAAUAUUUUAGAUAUGGAAGGGAUAUUAUUGAAUCCUUGUCAUGAACCAAAUUGAGUUUGAGAUCUUAGAAGUUAAAUUAUUCCUGUUUUGGUGUUAAUUGCUGUGUUAUUAUACUCGUUAAGAAUCUGUUAAAAAUGUUGGUUGCAUAUAUCGUCUUCUCUGCUUGUGAUUUUUCGCCUCGAACUCUAUUCGUCUUGCAUGAUGCCCCAAGGAAUCAGCCACACGUAUCAGAAGUUUGUGUCAACGGAUUCAAUUUGAUAGACUACAGUGGGUUUCAAAAUAGAAUAAUCCGCUAUAGCUGUUUCAUAUAUCAUUUCGGUUCAGUCAAAUUAAAGAACCAAAAUUGAAAUCACAAUUGGAUUCGAUUUGGAAACAUCUGAAAUACAAAAUUGAAACCACAAUCGAAUUAAAGAACAAAAAUUGUCAUCUCCUGAUGCAUCCCUGUUUCUAUUUGUGUUCGUGUUUGUGUCAAAAAUACAUCGUAAGAAUGUUAUAACAGUUGCAUACUUAAAGCGACGCCCUACUGAAUGUUACAAUAGAUGCAUACAAGACCGUCGCUAAUGUCAAUGUUUCUUCUUUUUGUUGGACUUUGAGUUGGAGCCAUGCUCAUUUUUAUGUCGCUUUUCCCCACUCUUGUGACUCUCUCUCUGUUUUCCUUUAUCCAUUUUGUUUCUACUUGAUUUCACGCUAACGAGACCACCAGCAGGUAGGUUUGCACCGCCAUUCUGUAAUGCAUUCUCAAAGUCUGCAUCUCUGUCCCCAAUCGCGUACUGUUGAAGCAACUUGGGAUCUAAUGACCCCUCCGAGUUGGAUCUCAUCCCAUCCUGUAUGUGCGUAGUCAAGUCAGCCCAACUCUUGGGAUUCAGAACGCGGGAAAGAGAGGCAGUUCAGGUAACACGAAGGUAAGGAAGGAAUAAAGCGUACCUCAACUUUUCUUGCAGCAUCAUUGAGAUCAUCAUCAACAGAGAUCUUGUGAGGUUCCAAGAGAGUCUGAACCAAAAUUUCCGAAUCAGAGUGGAGUUACAACAUAGGCAGAAGAAAAGCACAGUAGCAUACAUACACGCACGCACGCACAAUUAUAAUGUGAUAGACGAUGUUUAAGCUUGCAUUAAGAAACACAAUAAUGUAAACUUAGCGAUUACAUAUCAAACAAAAUAGUUCAGGUACCAAAGUGGCUCACGCGCAACACACAUGUCAAUAUCAUAUAGUUAAGCCAACUAGAAUCAUAAUGCAUCCUACGACAUGAAAUUAUUAGAAAGAGAUGGAAACCACCAACAUAUCAUGUACUUUCCAUAAGAAAAAAAAGGGUUACUGCUUUGCUGAACUUACUUCUUUUGGUUUAGGCAAGGUUGACACAAGGCCCUCAGAUGCAAUAGCGUAUAGAUAUUUGUGAAACUUUUUCAUAACUUUUAUAAACAGAGACAAUAUUUGCUGCCUUUCCAGUUUCAUCAACCCCUGGAAAACGUGAAUGUAAGUAAAAAUCUACACCUGAUAAGAAUGAAAUAAAGAGCAGAAAUGACGCCACCAAGUAGAGUGUUUUGUCUUUGCAAGUGGGUUUGAUUGCGUGCUCGCAUUGCAUCUAUGUGACUGGUAUAGCCAAGCAAACCAUAUGAGUAACAAGUAGAGAAACAAACCUCAAUAUAGGAGAUAUCUUGAUUCUGUAAGCCAAUGCAGAGCAAUAUGGAAGCCUGGGCACCUGUCAAUGUCACUGGAAGUUUCUCUUGGAAAUACAGAUGUGAAAGCGUUGGAACAAGAUCCAAAAUCUGUAAAAUAAAAGCAUAACUUUAACAUGUGUAAAGUUAUAAACAAACGAUAACUAGAGUACAAGAGGACCUCAGUUUAGAAAAUGACACUUAAUUUCAAAUUCAAAUGGACCCCAGGGUUUAAACUGUAAUUUUAAAAACAAUUCGCAGGUAAUUUGAAGAAAGUAAGGUCUGUUGGUUAAGGAUGAAAAUGCAAUAAGCCCUCGGAUCCCUCCUCCCCACUAUCAUCUAUGCCUAACAGGAGGAAGAACAUCUUGACACAUUCAAACUGGCAGCCUUUCCCAAAAAACAGAAGGAAGCAGAUAAUCCACUCAAACCAUAAUCAACAAAAAUGGACGACAUGCCAUUGACCAGGAUGCACUGCACCUUCCUGAGAACCGCACAACAAAUGGGUUCACCUCCCUCAGGGGCAUACCCACAAGGGGGUGGGAUUGGGUGGGAGGGGAAGAGAAGGGGUCUAAUAGCCUAAUCGCUGUUGAUUUCAUCUUUUUAUGUAACACAGAGCACGGGAUGAAACAUCGGCCACAGAAUCCUACACACAAAUUACUUGUAAAGUACACAAAUUCCCCUUCUCAAACAAGCAAUUUUGAACUUUUAAUGUGUAACUGAACAUAUAUAUACAUAUAAUUAGAUCAAUAACUAAACACAAUGUCCUAAUAGUUCACUUUUGAAAAAGAUUAUUCAUAAAACAUUGCAAGAGUAAUAUAUGUUCACAAUCAUGGUAUCAGAUUGUCCACAGUAAGAAAACAAAUAUUUCACCACUGUCAACUAAAAAUUGUAUCACAAUCACAAUCAUAUUGCCACACUGAGACGAUAAUUCUAUCACAAAGGAAUACAAUUUUUCUUUUGUAAUGCAAUAUUACUUUCUUUUUCUAAAGGAAAGCAUAUUUUGUCUUGUAACGCAAAUAUCUUUUUUGAUUCUAAGGGAAGUAUUUCUUGUUCUGUAAUGCAAACAUUACUUCUAUUUUUAAUAUGAAUGUAUGGAAUCAAUUAGUAAUCCUAAGAUAAAAAAAUCCCAAAACACUACAUAGCACUAUGACAGGGCAAGUUGGCAAUCAACCAUUGUUCAGAGAACUUACCAUAUGAAAGUCAGCAAGACUGCUGGUGUAGGCCUCCAGUCGCUUCAUAUCAUAAGGCGAAAGUAAGUCUGUGAUAGACCGUAAGAAUCCAUCUGUGGUAGACGAUUUGGGUUCUCCAUCCUUGUAAUUGAUCUUAGGAUCUAAGAUGCUGGAAAAUUAUUAGUUAGUACGAGCACUUGAACAAUAAGCAUUUAUCAGAAUGGAACUUUUAAUAGUACCUCAUAGCGAGCCUAUAAUCCAUUGUACGAAAACUAUAACCCAAUAGUCUCAAAAAUCUUCUCCUGAAAUCUAGGUAGCCAACAAAUAAUCAAGCUGUGAACUGAAAUACAAAAAAUCUGCACAAAUUUAAAUAGAACAAAGGUUUUCCAAAGAAAAAUGGGCCCACCUAGGUUGAAUGGACGAAAAUCACUGGUUUCAAGUUCAUCAUUCUUCAAAGAUUUGAGGACCAUACACGUAUGCUCCCCGGUCACACCACUCUAUUACAUUGAAAAGAAAAAUGAAAAAUUAUUGUUUAAUCAGUCAUUCAUUCACAAAUGAUAAUAUUCAAAAAAACAGUAAACGGAAAAAAGGAUUCAGUAUGGAGAGGGGAAUCCAUCUUAACUGGAAUAUGUCCAAUAUAGAAUGGAGCAAACUUAUGUUUCCACCAAAACCUGAAAAGGUCCAAGGUAAGCCCAAAGGAGACACCAAUAUAAUGGAGCUUCUCUGGUCGCCUUUCACGAAGAUGAACAAGCAAAUGAGGAAGAUCUGUUCUAGGUUUUAUACUUUCUUCCAGCAAUGAAACCUAUAAAUAAAAUAGACAUAGGUAUCAUUCCGAUAAACAAUAUCAAGGCACAGGCGGCAGGUUGAUUAAUACCAAACAAACAAACCAAUACAUGAUAAUAUACUUUGAUGUCAUUAUGAUUAAAAUUAACACAACAAAUGAUCAUUCACAAAAGUUUGUCAAAUUAUAUUCAAACACAGAAAUUGUUCUACAAUCACCGGAAUGAAGCUUAACCAACUCAAACACUUCGACAGAACAAGAAUUGCAUUACCAGAAACCUAUGAGUUACAAAAUUGCCUCCAAUUGCAAUAAUAAUACAUAGAAUAGUCUCGUAUAAGCAGUUCUCCAACCUAUUAAUUAAAAAUAUUUAUAAAAAAAAAAAAACUAAGCUUGGUGAUUGUAGUUCACCUUCUCAGCAGCUUCUGUGACUCUGAGUGGGGGAGUCUCAACAUCUUCAACGUCCAGUUCAGAAAUAGGAGCAAACUGUCCUUCGUAGUACCUGAGGAGAAAUAAACCCUUAACACCCAUUUUUUCAAAUAUAAAAACAUAAAUGUGAAGCAUCAACUUUUAGAACCAAAGAGAUUCAGUGCAAUUUUCAUGUCAAAACACUUUUAUCUCAAUAAUGAAGUACUUAUGAGUUACAUUGAUACAAGAGCAAUGCAUCCCACAUAUCACACACAUUCCUUAUAUCUGGAUCCCCAACAAUAGCAAUCCAAUGUCACCCACAUAGCACAUGAUACAUACCAGAGGUGUCCCUAGAAUGUCCACAUCAGCCAUUCCUUAUAUCUGUGUCCCCAAAAACAUUUGCAGUAAAAAGUACAUGGACUUAUGAGCACAAAGGGAUAACGGACAUGUAUGGGUUGACUUGAGAGAUAAACCAAGUAAAGUAAGUUCAAGAAAAAAUCUAGGACCAAAUAGGAUACAAGGUCAGAAUCAGUGUGACCCAUCUAAAAAGUUAGGACCCCACAUUAAUUUGUGCAGUCAACAACGAGGAUCCAUCUUUGGAUUAUUAUCCUAAAACGCUCUAUCUUUGGAUUAUAUCCUAAAGUGCUGCUGGUUAAGCUUGUUUCUGGUUUUUCUCUGUUGGAAAUUUCAAUUACUAACGAAAUAUCCAAUCUUCAUUUAAACAUACAGAUUUAAACUCAACUGUUGGCACUGCAGACUCUUGGCCAUUGUUGGGAUUGAAAUAAGCUAGAGUUUCUCAAGAUAAAUGCGGAUGAGGUGGGUUUUAUUUGAGAUAGCGAAUUCCAUGUGUUUGUGGAUUUAUUGCCAAAGCAAUUUGGGAAGAUCCCUGCUGUUUCCUCCAGAUGGAUGGGGUUAUAAUUUCAUUGUAACUUUUCUGAAGUAAGUUUUAGUUGGACUCCUUUUCUUUGCAAUGGACAACUUCUCCUCCUUUCCUUUAGAAAAUGCUUUGCUUUGCUGAAUUUUUCGUAACUCUUAGAAAUGUAACCCAAACUAAGAUGAAAACCCCCAACAUGACCGUAUUUUAAUAUGCUAUCACUUCUAAUCCUCUAUAUCUUUCCACUUGUUUCUCCAACUACCAUCAUAUGACUCGAGAGUUGUAUUGUGAGAAAGUCAUCUGUAUAUCAAAACUGAAAUCAAAUGAUCAUCUCUUCAGCACCCACAUGGUCUAUGUUCUAUAGCUUUCAACCCAAGUGAACUGAAAGCAUGAGACUCACAUUUUGAGUUGCGACUUUAUGUGCCUGAGCCAGGGUGCAUAUGCAUGAUUGCUUUUCAUUCAUUUUAGAAAUCAUUUGAAGCAUUGCUUCAGACAUAUAAUCUUCAAUCUUUUCACCUUUUUUUUUAUGACAAACAGUAGCGUUAGUGGGUUAAAAGUUUAUUUGUUAGGGGGAGGGGAAUCGAUGGGCAUCAAACCCGCACCAGGGUGCAUAUGCAUGAUUGCUUUUCAUUCAAAGUGUAGCAAUAUGGGGCUAAAAGAAUCACUCAGUCAAUCUUUCUCAACACCUUAGGCAUCCACAUACACAUUGGGAUCAUGUAUGUGAUCUACAAAAACGUUUAGGUGGGGAAUAACUCAAAGAGGAGCAUACCUUGUCAAUAGUUCCACUGCUUGUGAUCCAUAUCCAAUCUACAACAACGAAAAAUAAAUUACCAUUUCAACAGAUCCCUGGUUAUAGAUUACCAUUUCAACAAAAUCCUGGUUAUACAUAUUGCUUUGGAAACCAUAAUGAGAGAAUACCUUCAUGGCACUUGGAUGUGUAGCAAUUCGUACAAUCCGAGCACCUGAAAGACUGGGAAAAACUGUGUCCUGAAAUUGCUCACAGAAUUUCCAUGGUAUCUGGUCACCAGAAGGCUGAUGACCAUCACUUAAACUUUUCAUUGCAGAUUCACGAGAGAUCUUUCCCUCAAGGCAGACCUAAGAACAAAAUGAUAGCACAUAAAAUGUUGAGCAUCAAAGAAUUAGUGUUUUAUAGAAGAUGAAGUACGUGUUUAAAGUGUUGUCCUUUAUUGCUAUUUCACAUAAGGUAAAAUUAUAAAUAAAAAAACUAAUAAAAUUUUGGGUAUGCGUUAAAUAACUAAAAGAAAUAAUAGUCCUGAACUAGGGGAAGACAGUCAAACCUGAAUGACACACAAAAUAUCAGGAAGCUGAUUUUUUGACUCAUCAACAGGGCCUGCACGUGCAAAUUAUAAUCAAGUCCAGCCAAAUAGCGGCAAAAAAAGAAAGACCAGUUCUAACGUAACAUAUAUACCAAGUAGCACAAACAGGUGGUGAGCCGGGGCAUCAGCCAUUAGUUGCAAAUCAUUUGGAGAAUUUUUGUAGUGGGAGGCAACAUAUAGAGCCAUCAUCCGCUGCAAGUAUUAGAAUAUGUAAGUUCACUAAUAUGAAAAUGAGAAUCACUAGUCUGACAUUACUUGAACAUGUAAUUACCUGUAAGAACAACUCGCUAUCUUUAUGAUAUGAAAAAAGCGUAUCACAGUUUACGUAGUACAGAUCGCACUCACUGGGUGCAGGUAACCUAGCCGCCAAGAGAGAGAGAAGAGAGAGAGAGAUCAUUAAUAAAGGUAAGGGUUAUAAUGGAGAUGGUUACAUCUUCCUCGGUUCUGACUGUCUAAGCAAAUGUUUUUACCCGUUAAGUUUAGGGAUAUAAUUUGUGAUAUCCAAGCAAAGUAAACCAUGAAGCCAGGAUUCAAUCGGAUCACCAGAAGCAUAUCUGAUAGAUUCUUUCAAUUCUAUCUUUUUGAAAAGACGACCUACAAUCAGGGACAUUUAUCAAUUCAGAAAAUUAUGUCCAAAUAUCACAAAAUAGUUUUUAAAAAAUUAUACAUUGCUCACUUGCAAGCGCCAACAGUUCAAGUAUUUCAGAAACAAUAAUGUUAAGAGAAAGCAGAAGAAACAUUGAAUUUUGAAAAUAAAUUCAAGUUUUGGGGGGAAAGGGGGAUUUUGAUCCAACCUAAUUCAAGAUGAGAAUACAAAACACGGCCAAUAAGGAAUAAGCAUACCAGAUGUAGGCCCCUUAGCAGACACUUGGCUUUGCUCUUCCAAUUGCUGUAGAAGUUUUAGGGACAAAGACCGACCAGUACCUUCAUAGCUUUCAGUGUAAAAUAAAUGUCCUUUAGUAUUUAAAUUGCACUUAGAUUUUUUUUUUUUUACCAAAAGUUGAAUUCAGAGUUGACUUAUAAAUAGAAAGACAUCAAGCAUGAGUCAAGGAAAAGUGGAAACAGCCCAUGAAAAGUGAAAGAUCUUUCAUUCCCCCCCGCGGCCGUAACAGAAAGUGAAAAAGUGAAGUGAAAUAUGUUUCAUGAGACUGUUAAAACCAAAAAAGAACACAUGAUAAGAAUACACGACAUGAAGGAAGAAGAACAUGGAUGAAUCUUACCCAUUAACAGUAGAUGAAAGGAAGACCAGAUAAGGACCAAGCAAAGACUUCACUACUGGUAGUGGAAUAGCAGCUGCUUCAUCAACAACCAACAGUUCAACUUGGGAAAGCUUUUCAUGCUCAUGUGGCCGUAUAUACUGCAAGUACAAGUAACAAAAGUAAAAAACAAAUAGCCCCAAAAGCAAUGAGCAGUACAAAGUUCUUUCUUUUAGGCUACAUGAGGUGUAAAGGUCUAGACCACCUCACAAUCUCACAGGCAUGUUGAGUGCCUCUAUACCAUACAUACUGGAUUAGUGCCAGGAAGACACAUUAGGUUGACCAAAAAGUUUGGCGUUUCAGGAACAUGCUUUUAGAAGCAAGCUUCAGUAAUCACAAACCAUCUAAAUUAUGUUCAAUAUGCUCACACCAAUAACAAAAAUGAUGCACUUGGGCAAAAGUACAAUAGAAUUUUUGGAGUAGUCAAACAAAGACAACCACUAAUCAUAUAUGAGGGCAUACGACAUUUGAUGGGCAAAAGGUGAACACACUCAUGGCUAUUGUGAUGCGGCUAUCCAAUAGAAGAAUAUUCUCUAUUACAACUUGGUUAUCAACUUUUCAUGAGUAACAAUUCCUCCAUGUAUUUGUAUUUUGGUAUCAACUGACUAAACAAAAUCUUUAUUGCUAUUUUUUUAUAGAAAACGAGAUUUUAUUAAACAGCUAAAAAACAAUACAACACUUAGUGGACUAGGAAGUCCACCAUCAAAACGAAACAGCCCUGACAUAUGCCUCAACAUUCACCUCCAUCAUUAUAAAACAGAUCUGCAACUAUCUCACUGCAACUCCCCAAUCCAACAAAAUUACAUAAAAUGAAAGAUCCCAAAACCUUGGAGAGAGAGAAGCCAUAAGAAUGCCCAAUUCUUUCCCAAGAAUUCUCUUGUAAAUCCCCACUCUAAUUUUCAAAGGUUGCAAACUUGAAAUUAACAUAGAAGGUAACUGGCUUCAGAGUCAACUAGGAUAAUACUGGGCAUAUAUGCAGAGAGUAGGCAUAGUAGCAACUUUCAGGGUAUGGAAUAAUACAAAAGGAAAGGGAAGACCACAGAAUUCUCUCAGUCAUCUUAACUUGAUUUGGUACUAAGAAUAAGUUAUGUAUACACUUCCCACUGGCCCAUCUGUACGUUAAUAUAGAAAUAGAUUAUAUCCUGGCAACAAGGAAGUGAAAUACUCCUAUUUUUAUAUCAAUAUUGGGCACAAAUUAAGAGUUCAUCAAUAUAAUUUUACCUCAAUUGUAACCAACUGUGCAUAUAAGUUUACCUGAAUUGUUUGUCUGUGCUGCUUGUAUAUAUUGAUCUGUACAGUUGCUUUCUUCAACAAAGGGUCACUACUUUUCUGUACAUCAUAAUCUAUAUGUUCCUGCAAACAUAGUUUACAACUGUAAGCUCAAUAACUAGUGCACUGUUCGAAGUACAUGAUUGAAAAAUGAAGAAAACGGAGUGACCUUAUAACAAUUAAUGAAAGAUAAAAUGUAGUUCACAGAAUAAAACAUUCAAACACCACCAUCUUGAUAGUUAAACAAUUUCACUGUAAAAGCUAUUAAACUUAGCAGGAAAAAAAAUUUAAACUUUAUCUAACAUUUGAAUCUACAAUUUUCAAUUAGCAACUCUUGUCACAAAUGUUUAUUAGUGGGGUACGUUCUAAGAUAUUGUUAUUUGCUAAUUGUCGAGGAUUAUUUGGGAGUUAAAUCUCACAAGAAGGCGUAAAGAUCACAUUAGAAUUAGAUAUUUUACUAGGAAGCUAAAGAUCACAUUAGAACCACCCGCAGGAAUACAAAAAAACGACAUACCUUAUAGUCCAGUUGAUCAAAACCCUUGCAAACAAAUUCGAACAAGGUUCUUAAGUUCUCAGGGCUGGGUGCAGUUACAAAUAUAUUUGAAUACCUGUGAAGAUAUAUUUGUAUCGUCAAAACAUAGUACAUGAAUAUGAGUGUAGACAGCUACACAUACACCAAAACAGUUUUAAUACAUUGUAAAAGGCAUACUACCCUGCAGCAAUAGCUCCGGAAAUUGCCAAACCAAGUGCAGCCGAUUUUCCACGGCCUCGAGCAGCAAGCAAGGCAACAGUACUUCGGAGUGUCUUGUCCAAGAUUGCAUCAAGAAAUGUAGCAACAGCAUUUCCCUGUUGAAACAUUUACCAACUCAAACUAUGAGUCAUAUUAGUAAAUCACACAUGAUAGAAAAACUCAAAACUAAUACAAAUCAGAGAGAGUGCCUACCUGGUCCAACGUACAACAUUUCUUUAUUAAAGGGCCAACAGGAAAGGCAUCACUCAGCUGCUCUUUUAGAUCCUUCAGUUCCCUUUGUGACUCUGAUAUCCCUUCAGAGUCCUUCAAUCAUGAUCAGAAAACAAGAAAAAAGUUAUCAAAGUUAUCAAAGCUUCACAAACUCCUAGAAAGUAUCCUAAUAACCAUUCGGUAUACACACACUUGAAAAAUUACUUUUAUUCUUUUUGUCAUCUCGCAUAAGAUGCCACGAAAAUAAAGCAUUCCUCGAUUUAUCAGUUCCGUCCUAUAGAAAAGUUACAAGGCUAAAAGGUUACCUCUUUCACUGGAACUGGGGUAAUUGACCUCAUAUGAGAUGAAAUUGGUAAAAUAUUCAGCUCAUCAUCCAUUACUACACAUGAUUUGCAUGACGCAAGUGACAAUAAGAAACGCUCGUUAAAACGUCCAGUAGCCUUAGAAUGGGAUUCAGUUCGAAACCUAUCAUGAACAUCCUGAAAUCAAGAGGCGCUGAUAAGACUGUAUGGAGAUUUUUGCAUUUGAGAGAACGAGAAAGACAGUGUUGCAAAUAAAACAUGACAUAACGGAAUUGUUAUCAAAUAUAAUAUGUGGUGCAUGGCUAUUGCUAUAUUCGUUCUAAGUCCAUAAUGUAGUAAAACUAGAAACUACCUCAACAAGAAGAACAAAUAUUAUGAGGAAACCUAGUUGUUUUUUCUUCUUCUUUUUGGGGCUAGAACAUGAAAAGAAACAACUAGUCUACAUAGGCCCAACUGGGAAACUUAUAUGUUCAGCAGCAUUCUCUUAAAGAAAGUCAAGCAAUUGAAUCUACCAAAAGUCUUCUUGUAGCCAAGCACAUCAUUACGAAAAAAUUCGGAAACUUUUAACAUGGCUAGUUUUCAAGAUUUUGCGGUAUAUAAUAAGCAUAACCAUGCUGGCCUAAAAACUAAGCAUUAAUUGUGUGCAUGCGUAAGAGAAAGAGGUAUUAUUAUAUGCAUACCAUAACCAUGGUGUAGAGGUUGGUGAGUGAGGUUAGAGAAUGAAGCAACAAUAUGACUAGUCCACCUCCCUCCACUGUCUCUAUCGUUCUUGCUAGUAGAUUUGGAGUCAAGGCCUCAAAAUCCUAAUGCAGGAGAUCAAACUUAGUCAUAAAACUUAAAUCAAUUAUACAAGGGGUCUUGGCCAAACCAGUAAAUUUGUAAGUUUCAAGUUACCUGAAGUAUACACAUUCCAAAGGUAUUACCAAGAACUCUUUCUGAAUCCUUGUACAAGCAAUAAGUCAAUCCCCCACUUUCAACAAAAAGUGAGAAAGGAUCAACCUUCUCGGGAUCAAGCAGCCCCCUCUGCAUCAUCUUUUUUACUUGCUUAGCACGUUUUUUCUUGUGACUGCAUCAUGAAGUAGUCAAACGCAACGAAUCAAUAUAUUUUAAAAACGAAAUUCCGCCUUGCCUUAUAAUAAGGUGAAGAAUGGAAGGUAGAAGAAAUCAACCUGCUGAGCUCGAGCUUGUCCUUGUAGCACCACAACACAGUCGGGCGCGAUUUCUUUACUUCAUUGCUUAGCAUAUAAUGAAGAUUCACAAUCUGAAGACCAUAUAAAACUCCAUAUUAGCCAUUUUCCGUUAGUUUUCGAUAGAUUUUCGAUGAUAUUUCUUACCUUGUUUGAGGUUUUUAGUGUUACUCGGUGAGUAUUGCAGGUGAAAACAAGAAACAGUAAAACUGGUAAAAUUUUCUACCCAAUUCAAUUUAAAUCAUUGUUAUAACUCCUCAAAUUGAAUAGGAAUAGCAAAUAGGGAAUGGGAUAGGAAAGGCAGAAGAAAUUAGGAGUACCUGGUCACGGGAUUUGUCGCCGACGAUGACGAACAUGGAGCGGUGCCGGUUUUUGACGCCAUUGCUUAUUAGGGUUCGGAUUCGUUCGUCCACCUUCUUCCUCAUUCUCUCUCUCUCUUCUCUCUCUGUGCAAUUAGGUUUAGGGUUUAUACCAUAGGGCAGUUGUCGUCGUCGGGCAGGGUUUAAGCCGAACUAGUGAGAGAGAGACUAGACAUCGCGGAGAGAUAUUGAGUUCAUCUCAACCGUUGAUUGGCUAUCUGAUGGCUGUUAUCAAAGCUGACAUAAAAAUGAAAACUCAACACGUGGCCAAGUAUUUUUUUUCUCUCUUUUUUGGCUUAUUUAUUGAUUUGCCCCAGAAAUUAUUUUUUUUGUCUUACUCUAGGUCAUGAAACAGAAUUUAUCUUACUUUAUCUUCUAAAACUACCAAAAUCGAGUCAUUUCACCCAUGUUUUGUCAAUUCUAUCUCAUAAACGUUAAAUAAAAGGGAGUCUAAACAUUUCAUACCAUGCUAGCAAAGAUGAGCCACUGUUGUUGGUGAGGUACGAAAUUUUCAAACUUUCCUAAACCUUUAAAACUUAAAAGGUAUCUUGAAUAUGAACGUAAAUGAGGUAAAGUUGCUCAAUUUUGGCAAUUUAUGAAGGGUAAAAUGAGACAAAUUCAAUUUAAGGCUAAAGUGAGAGUAAAUGGCAGUUUCAUGAGAUAUAUCAAUAAAUAAAUCUUUUCUAGAAUACAACUAAAUUAUGUACUCACGGUAAAAGAUAAAUUAAUAUCGAACUUGUCAUUGACGAUAUCUAAACAUAAAACCUUUCAAGUUUUUACCUAUAAGAAUAAAUUUGGUAUAGUAAUUUCUUUUCUAAUUUAAAGUUUCCCAUAGAGUUAUGACGAAUUUGAUACCAAAUUAGGCUGUCAUUGUGUGGCAUAGCCGAAUUCCUCCUCCCUUACUUUAAAAAUAACGAUGUACUCAAAAAAAGUUUCCCAUAGAGUUAAAAUGAUCUUUAGUUGCUUGCUGAGACAACCCAUAUGUAUAAUAAGACAUUGAAAAAGGUGCCUCUGUCAUUUACACUCACACGAUCGAAUAAGUAGCUCCGACAGUUGCAUCAUAAAAUUAAGGGGUUUUCCGAGAUUGUAGUAAGGUUGACGAUUAAAGUUUGGGAAAUUUUCAGGUUAAGGAAUCAAGGGAUCACAUUUUCAAGUUUCGUAGGCAUUCUCUUUCCUUUGGAAUGGUGUUGGAAUCCGUCCUGAAGUUGCCCAUUCCUUUGCUCUUGAUUUUCAGAGUUGGAUAGCUAUAAACCUUAGGACACAUUGUACCACCAUACAUGGUUUACCUUGGAACCUUAUCUUUAAUUCAACUCUCUGGCAUUGCUGGAAAUGGAGGAAUAACUUUGUCUUCAAUGAUGGCCAACAACCGCUUGACUCACCCCAGAAUUUCAUUUUUCAAUUUGCAAGGGAAUGGUGUGAUGCGAACAAGUGUUCUUCUAGUAAGCCUCCUAGACAAAAUCAUCUCAAUCCAUUGGAUUCGUUUGCCAAUUGGUAUACAAAAUCAAUACAGAUGGGAGUUGUAAAGACCCAUUUAGCCACAUAAGUGCUGGAGGUUUGCUUCGUAAUUCUGAAGGGAAAUGGAUUAAGGGAUUUGCUGCUAAUUUGGGCAGAGGAACCAUCAUGGAAGGUGAGCUUUAAGGGUGGUUUCAUGGGACUUUCUAUAGGUUGGGAUGAGAGUUGCAAGGAAGUGAUUAUUGAAUGUGAUUCUUAUGCUGCUGUUACUUUGAUCCAACAACCUAUUUUAGUUCCCACUCUACAAUCUCAUUAUUGACUGCAAAGAAGCCAUUGAAAGAAAUUGAAGAUGUGAAGUUACUCAUAUCUAUAGAGAAAAUAAUGUCUUAGCUAAUCACACGUCUGACUUAGGUCAUGGGUUAUCACUUGGUCUUCAUGUUUUUGCUUCUCCUUCUACCAUUGCUACUAAUUUUAUAGUUUCUAAUACUAUUGGCAGGGCCCUCCCUAGAGCUGUUUUUUAGUAGCUUUUUUGUUUUGCUUGUUGGGCUUUGCCCUCUUCUGUACCCAAAAAAAAAAAAAAAAAAAAAAAUAUUGGGAAAUUUAUUUGGACCCAACUUUUUUAUCUCUACACCCAAAUAAUAUUUUCUCUUAUCUAAUCUUCCAAAUUUGUCCUUAAAUAACAAACAUUGAAGUUUUCUUUGUAUCUCUACACCCAAACCCCACGAUCCACCACUGUAGGGCGCUCCAUUAUUUCCGACAAACCCAACUCAAACGCCAGCAACACUAAAAUCGACAAAUCAAGACUGGAGAACAAAUGGUGUAGGAGUCCUAAUGUGAAUAUUAAAGCAAACUUAAGUUGCAAAACCCUUUUUUAUUUCAAUCGAUGAAAGGACCUUGGGUUAUGAACAUAAGGAACCUAUUAGGGUUUAGAGGUCCCCUCCACAUCAUAUGCAUAAGCCCUUUUUCUUCAUUCAUUAAUUUACGGAAGGGAAAAUUAAUACUAUUAUUCUCAUAAAAAGUGGGAAUACCAAGGAAAGAGAUCCUCUCCACACCAUAUAUUUUUCUUUUCUGAGUAGUUAUAUCCAAUGGAGAGAGGAAAACAAGAGCACCAAUGGUCGCAGGUUCACCGGAGAAAAUGAAGGUGCAGUGGUGAUGUGAGUUUAGGGUUAUUGGGUGUAAAGAUAACAACUUUAAUAUUUAUUUUCUCAUUUUUAUUUAUUUAAGGGCAAAUUUGAAAGUUUAGUAGAGAAAAUUUGUUAGUUGGGUGUAGAGAUAAAAAGGUUGGGUCCAACAAAAUUUCUCAUAAAGUUUAAUCACGCGAUUAAGUUCUUGUGCAAUGAGUAAAUUGUAGCAAUGACCCAUCAACUAAAAAUCCAUUAUUAUUGAUCCCUCAACUCAUCAAAAUAUGUAGUUAUGGUCAUUUUCGUCAACUUUGUAAGAAUUUUGUCAAAAUAAAUUAUGUUGGAAGGACCAUUGUUACAAUUAAGGUCCUUCAACUCAUCAAAACAUGUAGCUAUGGUCAUUUUCGUCAACUUUGUCAAAAUGAGUUAUGUUGGCAUGACCAUUAUUGCAAUUGGGUUAAAGUUGAGGAAUCAUUGCUCCAAUUGGGUUAAAGUUGAGGGAUCAUUUCUCUAGUUAGAUUAAAGUUGGGGGACCAAUGAUAAUUAAGUUUUAGUUAAGGGAUCAUAGUUGCACGUUUUGAUGAGUUGAGAGAUCAAUGAUAAUGAAUUUUUAGUUAAUGGAUCAUUACUCCAAUUGAGUUAAAAAUAAAGGACCAUUGCUACAAUUUACUCUUGUGCAAUAGAAGAUUAAUUUGGCCGAACAACCUGAUUAAGGUGCCUACUUUCUCUUUAAUUCAUUGGUAUCAUUUAUUUUCCCUUAAGCUGAAUUAUGCUCAAUUUAUGUAUCAAUAUUGUAAAGUUGUCUUUGUUAGAGUAAUUUGGACAAUAUAAAUUGAAAAUUAUUUGUGUAUAUGGAAAAGAUUAACCUCAGGGGUCACUUCGCCGGACUCCGUAGCAAUCUCCACCACUCCAAUCGUAAUGGUGAGUAAAUCACUUGUGUUUGUUUCCAUUUUUUCAAUUGGAAAUUGGGGGUUUUGAAUUCAUAUUUUGUCAAUUGGUUUUGUGAGCACUGAGAAUACACUACGAGCUUGUGUGUGUGUACAAUAUGUUGGAUUUGAUCUUUAUAAAGAAUGCGAGAAAUUGGGGUUAGGAAAGAGAAGAAAAGGAAACAGAACUCGAACUUCGAUCUUCAUUCUUGUUACUAAAGGAGAAAACCGAAUUUGAACCGGUUCAUACGUAAUCGAACCGAAUUUGUAUAGUUCGGUUCACCCCUUAGUACCGAACCGUACCAUACCAAAAAAAAUUUCUUGAGUUUGGUUUUGAUACAUCCCUCAUACUGUACCAUACCAAAUCGUGGCCAGACCUACUGAAUACAAAACUUAUAUCUGGGUCGUAAGUCGUAAGGCCUCCAAAAAAAAAGUUCAUAUUAUUCAUACCAAUCGGACAAAUCCCGCACCCAAAAACAAUGGCUAGAUAGAAAGUUCAAUUAUAGAUUAGGUAAUCUAUCCUUUUCAACUUAAAUGCACAUUCAUGAUGGUUAUGCAAAUCAUAUUAUGUUAACAAAUGCAACAAUUAAUUAUAUUUAUCCAUUUGGAAUGAUAUAUAUUUUCAAAGAUGGAAUUACAGACCCCGUUGACGUUGAGGCCAUUGCAUGAGAGAAUUUUAGAUGAUUUUCAAUUAAUUUAUAUUAUUGUUGUGAUAACCAUAAUAAUUAUUUUCUAAAUGUAAAACUAUAUUAAUGAAAUUUUCUUUGUCGGUCAAAAGAAGAUGAAAAGAUAUCUUUAUCUUCUAUCACAACAAAAAAAUUAAGGAUAUUAAUGUAAUAGGCUAAUAGCGAUGGGGUGAAGAAAUGGAACUAUCCUAAAUAGGCAGUUGCUGGUUAUAUUGGAUCAGGUGGUCUGAAUGAUUGGAUAAUUAGCAAAUAAAAAGGUUCCAUUUUUCAUGGACCCUCAAGUGGAAAUAUGGGAUAAAAGAUGGCAUAUACCAUUUUAUCCAUUUGUGAUUGUACAUUUUGAUGGUUGUGAUUUCACCCGAUGGCGCGGCAAGUGUGGAUUGGGAUAAGGAUGGUUUUGGUCUAUCAUCAAAGAUGGUUUGAUGUUCACGACUGGAUUUUACAACGCAUCCAAGUGCAUGGGUUCUAUAAAUACAGAGUUGCGCACAAUAAAAAAGUACAAAGGACCUUCAAACCUUUCACACACUCUGAGAAACUCCUGAUUCUCCCAACUUCGUCAACACAUCUUCAAUUUGGAUUAACAUCACUGUUUGUCAGUGAGGAGUCCUUAGUCUUCUCGUCUCAUUAGCCCUCUAGGUGAAGUGAGGUGUUACUGAAUUACUUGAGUAUUCAGCACAUUGAAAGUCGAACCUUAUUUGAACUUCACAGUAGUUAGCAAUCUUAUCUUCAGGUUUUAGAACCCAAUGCCAAGACAUAUUCCUUCCUCGACAGUGAUGGUUUGUACACAAAAGUUGGUUUGUACACAUAAGUCAGUAUUGUGUUUGACACACCAUCCCAUUCAUUCUACUAGCCCACAAACGCGUGGACUCGUCCAAAAUUACCCCACUCUCGGCCCGUUCACUUGCCCACUCGUCCCACGCGGCCCGUGAGUCUUCAGUGCCUGAUAGGGGGGCCUACUGUUAGGGCCGUUGUUGGCCACAACCCAGAGCCCAACGAUUUUUUUUUGCAUCCCACGACUGGCAUUUUUGGACCGUUGGUUGAUCCAACGGUCCAGAUUCAAAUUUUGUUUUUUUAAAUGUUAUUUUAAAAUACAUUGAAUCCAACGGCUGAGAUCGAAUAUAAUCAAAUCUAACGGUAAAAUAAAAAAAGAUAAAAAAAGAUAUAACAGUCCAAAUUUAAAUCCAACAGCUAAAAUAAUUUUAAAAAAAAUUAUUUAACUCAAAAUUCACCCAAAAACUCUAUAAAUACCUUUGUAUUUGUUCAAACAUCCACACAAAACUCAAUUUUCUCCCACAAUUCUUCCAUUUUUUCUUUCUACCAUUUCUUUCCAUUUCCAAAUUGUUCAACACGAUCCUUGAAUUGGCCAUCCCAAGCAGUAAGACAAUUCUUCCACUCCCAAAGCAUACAAUCGAGACUUCCUAUCAUGUCAGGAAAGCCUAUUUUGUCUGCUUUGAGUAGAAUGUGACGACAUGUCCCGAAUUAUUAUAUAUUUUUCUCCCUAAGUGUGUAAAGUGACGGUAAUGCCCUCGUGAUUUAGUGACGUGGAUGUACAUAUGUAGUUUUAAAUUAUUAUUUCUAUUGUCGUAGUUAAAUUGUACUCGACGCCAUGAGUGUGUUGAUGUGACCUAGGGCUAAAACAAAUUCGUAACGAAGAAGUUACGAACAGACGAGUGUGUAAAUGCGUAGAAAUAUAUUUUUAUGGGUUGGCUAUACCUUACCCACCAAUCACCUUAAUUCCUGAUUUCUUUGGCCUAAUUGAAUUAAAAAUAUCUCUCAUUUUUCCUUCUGCCCAAUCACGCACAUACACACCAUCACUCUCUCUCUUCUCUCGGACCUUCUUCUUCUUUCUUCUCAUUCCGUACACCCGAGCCACCCUUACCUCACAAUCAUCAUCAAAACAUUAUGGAUCGAAUUGGAAAUCACUACCAUCGCAGUCACCUCGAUCCCACGAACUCAUUGAUACCCUUAGGUCGAGGAAUAGACGUCGGGAAUUCGAGAACUCGGGAGCUCUGGCGAGGUGUAUUUUUCUACUUUGUGAUCGUGGUCUUUUUCUAUGGUUUAAAGGCUUGAGGUGGGUCCUAAUCAACUUUAUAGGGACCCUAGAUUAGUUUUGGAGCAGUUUGAACGUUGGAAUAGGUGAGAACAUGGAGUUGCAGGUUGGCCGGUUGAUCCAAGCCUUACUCCGACCACUUUCUGUCGGUUUUAGAACCUCAAGUAGGUAAGAUUGUAUUCUUCUAGUUGAGAGUUUCAAAUCCAUAUAAAAUUCAUGGAAUUUGGUUGAAAAAUGAUGAAGAUAUUAAAGUUUUAAGAUUUUUCCAAAAAUCAGCGACACAAACGGCGCCCGACGGCCAGCGAUGGAUUCCGACAAAGCCAUCGGAGAAGGAGGAGAAUAUUAUGUCUAACUUUGACAGAAUAUACUAACAGCGUCAGGUAACUCUAUUAGUUUUUAAACAAAAUAUUCUACUAUUUAAUGAAAUAUUCCCUAACGCCGUUAGGGAUUCCGUGCCUGCACGUGCCGGCUUAUGAGGGCGCGUGAGACGUCAGGAAAUUAAUCUAAAAAUAUUGGGGUGUUCGAGUUGUUGAGUAGGUCAUGUUGGUAUAUUCAAACACCCUAUUUGAGCAACGUAUGAGAAGUUAUUCCUAGGGUUUGUGUAUGUGCCUUAAAAUUAAUGUAAAAUUAGUUAUUUCGCAUAUAGGUGAGACUUACCCGGAGGACAAACGUGGUCAAACGAGACUUGGGGGCUACGAUCCUACUACUUACCAGUGAGCGGGCUUUUUUUUUCUAUAUAUAUGUAAAUAUGCUUAUGAAUCCCAUAAACUACUUUAAAUGAACGUAUGUUUUAAAUGCCAUGUCGUGUGCAUUAUGUGUUAGUAUUGCAUUAGUAUAGCUAUGCAUAGUAUUGGAUGAGACUGCGCAGACUCAGGUAAGUUUCAGGUGAGUACAUCAUGAUGGUAUUGGGUGCGUGUGUGUGGUUAUACGUUGAUGCAUUUUGAGCUUAUUAUCCUGCACAUUGGUGUUAGUGUUCUCGCCCAUGGCCAGGGCAUAGUUUUUCACAUGAUGUUCACCUCCUGGGCCGCACGCUCACUUUGGAUCCAAGUUUGGUGCACAGCCAUAUUGCACAGACCACAAUAGGUGGUUCCGACUCGUAGGUGACCUGCAAUUAUUUGCACAGCCUUCACGUGAUCGUAGCACUUAAGCGUACUUAUCUACACCCAGCCCUGUUGUACAGACCACAAUAGGUGGUUCCGACUUAUGUGCAUGCAUACUUGAUGAGCUAUAGAUUCAAUUGUACAGGUUACAUUAGGUGACUCCGGUUGGCAUACUAUUUUAGGUUGAUUCGUAUCACCUGGCUUACACAUUUUAUGGUUGAACAUCUUGACAUGGCAUACCUCUGUUUUCACUGCUCUAAGCAUUAUCCUUAUGUACCUAGUUGUUAUUAUUUUCUGGAAAAUUAUAUGGGUUUACAGUGAGGGGUUAGUAUGUUCAUAAAGACAACUGUGUUUUCAAAAACUUUGUUUUUGCCUACUCACAUUUUUUGUUUUGCACCCUUUCAGGUUCUAGGUAGUUGGUCAUCCUUGGUGGCUCACGAGGACUUUCACGGCGGUUCUGACAUCUCUGUAAAUAAGUAGGGAUUUUUUUCCCUGUUUGUAUAAUUAGUACUUAGUUGGUUCGAUUGCACUUUCGUUUACCCAUGCUCUGAUAUUUGUAUAACUUGCUUGGUCAUCUUUACUCACUUAUAUUAUCUUAGUUUAGAUAAGUUUGGUUUUAGGUUUUUAUUUAUUCGCAUUUCUUUUAUUAUUACUUCUGUUGCGCAUUUUGGCUACGUUACUCUUACGUGACGGGCAUCAUGUUUCGACUUCGGUUGGGGUGUGUCAUAAAAGCCUCUUCAAGUCUUCAUGAUUUGGCUUGCAGAGAUAUGUGGCUCCAUAUGUGGCCUGAAUUGCCCCACAGAAGCGCUCCAGGUUUUUAAUAGCAGUAGUCUCCGCAAGUCGGCAAUACUCAUCAGUUGAGUUUGCAGAGCACUCAUUAGCUAGCAUCCGAAAUGCAGAUGUGAGCUUCUGAUGAGGUGAUAGACUUUGUCGGCCUACGACAUUUAUCUUCCUUGCAAAGUAGUGGUCAUGAUUGACAACUGUGUUCAAGAUGCUUUCAAAAAUCUCUCUCCUCAUUCGAAACCGUCUCCGAAAAUCAUGAGCAGGAAAUCUCGGACGCUCAAUAAAAUAAUAUUUCAUCAUUCGGUCAUGACACUCUUCUCUAUCACGUUGCACAAAUGAACGCUUCGUGACAUAACCACAAUAGCUAGAUUCGACAUGGUGCUCAUAUUGCAUAAGCGAGUUUGGAAGUUUAGCUUAUGCGUUGAUCAUUUUUGAAUCCUCAAUGUCAAGGCUUGCUUGGUAUUAUGUCAUUUGCAUUGCCCUGCUACACCUUCUUCUAUCAUCCAUUGUUGAUAUAUUGAGGAUUUUUAUGAAACAAAAACACUUUGAAAGUUGAAAGAUUAGUGAAUAUAGGGAAUGAUUGAAGGUUGAAAGAUUGUGUGACCAACUGAUAUUGAACAUGUGUUUAUAUAGAGGAUGAUUGAUGAAAGUUGAAAGUUUGGUGAAAGUUGAACGGUUGGUGAAAGUUGAAGAUUUGUGAAAGUUAAAGACUUGCUUUGUGGAAAGAUUUAGUGAUUUUUUCAAUAUUUAUUGGAAUUUAAAUAUUUUUAUAUUAAAAUGUUCAUAAAAUUAAUUUACCAUAGGCUACAUAAUUUUUUUUAAAAGUUAAUUUAAGAAAAAAAAUUAGCCUAAGUUCAUUCUUUAAUAAUCCCGAACUAAAAUUUUAGGCUAGGGUUGGAGCAGAAAAACUGUUUCUGUGUUAAAAGCUAAAUUUUUUAGAUUAAAAAUUUUAAAUUUUAACCCAAAGGUUGGAGAUGAUUUAAGAAUGGAUAAACUUAACCAAGAAAAGAAGAAAAAAGAUGAAGGGCAAAUAAGUGAGAAGCAACAUGACACGACACACGGACGACCAUAGCAAUAAAGCGUGCGUCCUCACGUCCAUUGAAUAUAUAGAUGGGAGCUACAACAUCGUGUUUCACGUGCAUGUGUAUUAUACAUAAAGGCAUAUACAGUGUUAGCUUAUAUAUUAUAAAGUUUGUAGGCCACUUACCCAAUUUGGCAUAUGUUUUAUCUUUUUACGUGAAUAACCAAUGUGUUAUGAUGAUACAAGUCUCUUAACAUAUCCGGAGUUAGAAAUAUCAUAAGACAGUGUUGCGAUCAUAUUGAAAUUAAUUGACAGUUUGUAUUAUAUAUUUGAUUAUUCUUUAUUAACUUAAGGAGACAGCAUACUUAGACCUAAUUUAGUCACAUUCUCCAACCGAAAAUAAAGCGGUGUAGUAUUCAUACACUUUUUUUUAUUUCUUACACAGUCUUAAUUAAUUUCUAUUGUUUGAUCUUCUUCAAUUCAUUCGAUCUGACGACCGAAAAUUAAGAUGGUGUGUGGACGAGUAAAUUAUAACAAUGGUCCCUCAACUUUAAUCAAAUUGGAGCAAGGGUGCUCAACUAAAAAUCCAUUACCAUUGGUUCCUCAACUCAUCAAAAUGUGUAGCUAUGGUCAUUUUCGUCAACUUCGUUACAAUUUUGUCAAAAUAAGUUAUAUUGGAAUGACUAUUGCUACAAUUGGGGUCCCUCAACUCAUCAAAACGUGUAGCUAUGGUCAUUUUCAUCAAUUUCGUUAGAAUUUUAUCAAAAUGAGUUUUGUUGGAAUGACCAUUGCUACAAUUGAAUUAAAGUUGAGGGACUAUUAUUUCAAUUGAGUUAAAGUUGAAAGAUCAUUUCUUCAGUUGUAUUAAAGUUGAAGGAUCAAUGGUAAUGAAUUUUUAGUUGAGGGGACUAUAGCUGCACGUUUUAAUGAGUUGAGAGAACAAUAAUAAUGAAUUUUUAGUUGAAAAACUAUUACUUCAAUUGAGUUAAAAUUAAGAAACAAUUGCUACAAUUUUUUUAUAUGGAAAGUGGAUGAUGUGAAUAGCACAUCCAAAAAUAAAAGGGAACUUUAACGAAAAGCACCCGGUACUGUUCACUUUAACGAAAAACCACAUUUUUACACUAAAAAGUCAAUCCUGGUACUAUUCACUUUACCCUUUAUUUUGUCCUUAUCAUUAAAACUCAAAGUUUUCAAGCCCUUUUCAUUAGUUUUCCUAAAAUAAAAUGCACCACAAUUUGGUAGGAUCUUCCUGUUGAGAGUAAUAAAUUAAUAAUUGCCGAAAUAUUGGAUAAUUUGUCGGCCACAACGCUAUGAGGGAGUAUCUGGGGAUGAAUAUACUCUUGCCGACAGAUGCCCAAAUUCCAACUGCCAUUCAAAUGAGCCCUCCACCACCACCGGCCAUAAUAAAUUCUCUUUCUUUAGUGAAGAAGAAAAAGAGGUACUUGGCCCUCACCUCAACUUUUUGAGAAAGAACAAGUUUAUCGCUAUCAGAAUGUUUCGGUCAAUUAUAUAAGUUAUGUGUAAAUUUUUCUUUAGAUAACAUUACAUUAUUAUAUUUAAAAUGUUCCGUAACGAUAAAUUUGUUUCAUACAAAUUAUUCUCCAACUUCUUGGAUUUUUCUCCUUUUUCCCGAAAACCAGCUUAUAUUAGUGUUCAUCCUCUGUCAAUAUCACUCGCCCACAACUAUUCAACUAACUUUUAAUAAUUUGACAACGUGUCAUAUUUUUGUGCAAAGCGGGCCCAUUUUUGUGGGUGAUAUAAUAAUGGCGUAUGUGGUUUGUCAAGACAUAUACUCAUUUAUCCAUUAGCAGUUAGGUAAGUCACCUCACUCACCCACAGCCUAACACAUCAACAAAUAUUGCUUACAAAUUCUAGAAAAUUCGACCAAGAAAAAAAACCAAAUGCUCGCAAAUUAAAAUUGUGUAACAUGAUUAGUUUUUUAUCCAUUAGUAUUAAUUUUACGUUGGAAGAAAUUCCAAAUUUAUUCUUGUAAAGAGGGAUAUGAAAAUACUUUGUAUGUCUAUCACCAAAAUCUUCGAAUGUUUGAAUGGUUGAUUUUCAAGUCUCACACAAUUGGAUUUAGUUCAAGUGAGAAAGAAAUACACUCAAACUAUUAGAUAUGAGGAAUGAAAAUACACUACAAAAUCUUGUGAACAUUUCUAAUAUUCUCUUCUAUCUACUUUUUGUGAACCAAGUUUUUAUUUGUUUUUUUUUUUAACAAAAGAUAUUUUUUAUACUAGGGAAAUAAGGUGGGUUUAGCCUCAUAAUGGGCUAACAUAAUCUAGUUCAAACUUGCAUUUGGUGAGAAUCGAACCUAAAAUCUCUCACUUACAAGUGAAGAGGAAUACCAUUAGAAGUGUCAUGAAAUUAGCAGUCUUAUAUGUAAAAAAUUGAUUGACUAAAUGCUGUGUUAAAAAACAAGAUUAAUACUUGCAUCUCCCCACUUGGAAAAUGCAAAUAUUUCAUUUCUUGCAAAUAACGUAUAUCAUGCGUUCUGUUCAAUCGCAUAUUCAAAAAUGUUAAAAACAAGAUUAAUAUUUCUAUCUCCCCACUUGGAAAAUGCAGUAUUUCAUUUUUUACGAAUAACGUAUAUCCUGUGUUCCGUCCAAUCGCGUAUUAAAAAAAUGUGUGAAGUUUGGAUUAACUACACUCUUUGAGAAUUUCCUUAAAUAACCACUUUUUGAAAAUUUCUUAUAGGACUAAGUGAGUCUCCGCUGAGAAUUUCCUUAACUAACACAACACUACUUGAGUGAUAAUUUGUUAUAUCUUGAAUAGAGAAUAAAUCAGUUCCCUACUUUUGAAGGUACUAUUAACUUACACUAUAUUUGAAUGAGAACAAUAAACUUAGAAUUUAGAUGAAGGAAAUAAAACAGUUUCCUACUUUUGAAGGUACUACUCGAGUGAUAAUUUGUUAUAUCUUGAUAACGUGUCAUAUUUUUUUGCUAAGCGGACCCAUUUUUGUGGGGUGGUAUAAUAAUGGCGUUUGUUGUUUGUCAAGGGCAUAUACCCAUUUAUCCAUUAGCAGUUAGGUCACCUCACUCACCCACAACCUAGUACAUCAACAAAUAUUGCUUACAAAUUCUAGAAAAUUCAACCAAGAGAAAGAAAACCAAAUGCUCGCAAAUUAAUCUGUGUAACAUUAGUUUUUAUCCAUUAGUAUUUAUUUUACAUUGGAAGAAAUUCCAAAUUUAAUCUCGUAAAGAGGGAUAUGAAAAUACUUUGUAUAUCUAUUAUCAAAAUCUUUGAAUGUUUGAAUGAUUGAUCAUCAAGUCUCACACGAUUGAAUUUAGUUCAAGUGAGGAAGAAAUACACACAAACUAUUAUAUAUGAGGAUUGAAAAAUACACUACAAAAUCUUGUGAUAACAUUUCUAAUAUUCCUUUCUAUCUACAUUUUGUGAUAAGUUUUUUUUUUCCUUUUUUGAACAAACUAUAUUUAUCUACAUUAAGGGAGAGGAGGUGAUCUUAGCCUCACAAUGGGCUAGCAUAAUGUGGUUCAAAUUCGCCUUUGGCGAUAAUCGAACCUAAAACUUAUCAUUUACAAGUAAAUAGGAAUACCACUAGAUGGAUCAUGAAAUUAGCAGUCUUAUAGGUAAAAAAAAAUUGAUCGACUAAAUGAUGUGUUAAAAAACAAGAUUAAUACUUGCAUCUCUCCACUUGAAAAAUGUAGAUAUUUCUGUGAACACGGAAAAUUCCUGAAACGAAAGAGACAAGAACAACGUGCACAAAAUAAUAUUUUGGUGUUAAUGGAUUUGUUGGGUUACGAUCUCUUUUAACUUGAUCCUCUGAUUCGAUCUCCGUAAGGUGUUGAUUUAUGGAUGUUUCGUUGAUCCAAGGGCUGUUGAGGCUUGAUCUUAGAUGAACUGUUGGAAGUUUCUUCAAGGGGCCGUGGGCUUGAUCUUUGAAGGUGGAUUUGAGCGGAUCUUCAAGGAGCCGUUGGGGCUUGAUCUUGAGGAUGAGUGUUUCUUCAAGGGCCGUUAAGGCUUGAUCUUGAAUAACGGUGAUGAACGGAUCUUCAAGGGCUUUUGGGCUUGAUCUUGAAGAACGGUUGGAUGUGUGGAUUUGUUGAUGUUGUUGAUCCAAGGGCCGUCGGAGCUUGAUCUUGGAAGAACGAUGAACGAAGAACGAAGAACACUUUCUUCAAAGGCCGUCGGGGCUUGAUCUUGAAUUGGUGAUUGUUGAUCCAAGGGCCGUCGGGGCUUGAUCUUGGAAGAACGAUGAACGAAGAACGAAGAACACUUUCUUCAAGGGCUGUCGGGGCUUGAUCUUGAAUUGGUGAUUGUUAAUCCAAGGGCCGUCGGGGCUUGAUCUUGAUUCUUCGGGAUGAACGGAUGAUGAACAAUGAACACUUUCUUCAAGGGCCGUCGGGGCUUGAUCUUGAAUUGGUGGAAGUUCUUCAAGGGCCUUUGGGGCUUGAUCUUGAAGGUGGAUGAUUGUUGAUCCAAGGGCCGUCGGGGCUUGAUCUUGGGAUGAACAGUUGUGUGGAUUUGUUGAACACUUUCUUCAAGGGCCGUCGAUGCUUGAUCUUGAAUUGGUGGAAGUUCUUCAAGGGCCGUUGGGGCUUGAUCUUGAAGGAGGAUUUGACGAAGAACGAAGAGGGCUUUCUUGAUCCUUCGGGAUUUGCUUGAAUUUGGGAGGUUGGAUGCUUGAAAGCUUUAGAGUUUCAAAGCUUCAAGGAUUUUGGAUGUGUGGGGAGUAUUCUCUUCCAUUUUGGGAGUAGAGAAAUGUAUUUGUGAAUUGGUUUUUGAUACCUUGAUGUAGAAGCCUAUUUAUAGGCUUUGAGAAUGAAUCACCACCACAAAAUAUUUUUUUUCUUUUCCAAGCACCAUUGCCUAAUUUCCCACUUAAUACAAUUUUAAACUUGAAGUGGUAAUUUUAUGGCCUAAUUUUCCACUUAAUAUCAUUUUAAACUUGAUAUGUGCAUGCUUUGUCAUUGCCCAAAAUGAGAAGAAAACCUUGUUUUGAUCUUCAAUGAAUUGAAAUGUGCUUGCCUUGUCAUUGCCCAAAAUGAGAAGAAAAACUUGUGUAAUCCUUCAAGGGUAUUUCUUUUUAUUUUGUUGAGUCGCACACCAUGUGUACAAUUUGUAUGACACGUGGCAUAUGCCAUGUACGCCUUGACACGUCAAAAUUUUAAUGCGUUGGUGAACAUUUAUUUCACCGCAAUUUCGGUGUCUACAAAUGCCCCCACUUCAAGGUGCGUCGUAUACAUGUGCUUGUCACGUGUAGGAGAUGCGUUUUGAAGUCCCUUACUGUAGAUGUCAAUCCAAUGGCCAUCGAGGCUUGAUCUUGAAUUGGGCUGGAGAUUUCUUCAAGGGCCGUUGAGGCUUGUUCUUGGACUUUGUUUGAAAUUUCUUCAAGGGCCAUCGAGGCUUGAUCUUGAAGGUUGAAAUUGGACCACAAGGAGCUUCAUGUGGUAGAUGAUCUUUGGCUUUGGUAGUGGAUGAAUCGGCACGUAUUUGUUUUUGCGCUUUGUUGACUUUCCACAGCUUUGAUCUUGAACUGGGUUGGAGGAUUUUUUGGAUUCCUCCAAUUGUUGAUUUUCCACAGUUUAUUCUUGAACUGGAUUUGAUUCAAAUAUGGUGGACGCUUGAUCUUGAAUCGGACUUGUGAUUUCCUCAAGGGCCGUCGAGGCUUGAUCUUGAAUUUGGCCGGAAACUUCUUCAAGGGCCGUUGAGGCUUGAUUCUUGAAGGUUGACUCGAACACAUGGCAAGCAGGCACGAGGUGAAGGUGACGACUUGUUGCUUUGUUCAAUCUUUCUAAUUCACACCUGAGCAGUUUGGUCAACGGUAUGAUCUUCAAGAUUGAUGGGCUCUUCUUCCAGUUGGUGAUUUGAUCUUUAAGGAUUUGAUUCAAGGGUGGUGAAACGGCACAUGCAGCCCACAACGCCUAGCAAGUCGACCCAAGAAUUUGAGGGUUAAAACGAGUCCUCCACCCAGAGUGAUUGCAAACCUGAUGAUAUGAGAUACUUUUGAUUUUGAAGAAGUAGCGGAUGAAUCGGCACGUGCUUUGUUGUGCUUGUCUCCACAUGCUUCAAUGUAUCAUUUUCCCUUGUCUUAUCUAUUCUUCUAGCAGAAUGUAGCAUCUUCUUAAGUUCUUCAACUCAGACUCCUUCUGCUGAGCUGACUGUGCAGGCUGCAUUAUUCUCUGCUUGUUUCUUUAGGCAGAUGUGGCAGCUUCUUGAGUUCCUCAGCUCGGACUCCUUCUGCUGAGCUGAUUGUGAAGACUGCAUUCUUAUCUGCUUGUUUCUUCUGUACGUUGUCUCCACAUGCUGCAAGGUAUCAUUUUCAAUUGCCUUAUUUGUUUUCCAGGCAAAUGUGGCAUCCGAGUUUGAGUGGAGGUUCUGGCAUAUUGUUUUCUUUAUCCUUGUCUUUGUAGGUAAGAACAAGGACAAAGGAAAGGACAGGGAGAACGCAUGAUAUGAUAUACUCUUGCUUUCUACCCUGGUGAUAUGAGAUACUUUUGCUUUGGUGUCAUUUGUUUGCAGAGGUACCCCAAGGAAUAAGAAACACUGAGUGACUCGAGAGGCUUUGUUGGGAAGGCAUUCUAGGAGAUGAAGAAAGGUUCUUGGAGAUGAAGAAAGGUUCUCGGAGAUGAAGAAAGGUUAUGUAUGUCUGCCUUGCUAUGGAGGGUAAAGGUGGACAGUUAUAGGAAAUUCUUUAGUACCUGUAGAGGUACUAUUCUUUUACUCGUGUCGGCAACCAAUGUGUGAUUGAUCAGUAUGGCUUCACGUGUUUUCUUCUUUAUCAGAAAUCUUCGACAAAUUGUCCGUAAUUUUCGUCAAGCUGAGUGUGCAUGUGACAGGUGUUGACGAGGCUGAAAAAGACUGGUGCCUCUUCGAUAUCUGGGAUCGGCGCUUCGACAAAUUGCCCGUGAUUUCCGCAAAGCUGAGUUUGCGCGUGACGGGUGCUGACGAGGCUGAAAAAGACUGGCGCCUCUUCGAUAUCUGGGAUUGGCGCUUUAACAAAUUGCCCAUGAUUUCUGCAAAGCUGAGUUUGCACGUGACGGGUGCUAACGCGUCUGGAAAAGCAAGAUGCUUCUCCGAUUUCUGAGCUUGCCUCUUUGAUUUUUGAAUUGGCCUCUUCGAAUUCUGAGCUCGCCUCUUCGAUCUUUGAAAUCCCAUCGAGUGUUGAUCUUUAUAGAGGCACGCAGUUCGUUUCAAAGCACACUUGAAUUUUCGCUUGUAGAAACUCCCUUCUUGCACUUCUAAGAUCUUGAUUUGUCCGACCUCUUCUUUCUUCAACACCUUUGAAAAUGUCUGGACCCUCCGACCGUCAUUUUGAUUUGAACCUUGGUGAAGAGGUAGUCCCGUCUUCUCCAGAUAACAUAUGACGCCCAUCUUUCAUAUCCCCUACUGGUCCUCUUACCGUUGGGGAUUCGGUGGUGAAGAAUGAUAUGACCGCUGCGGUGGUGGCCCGAAACCUUGUCACUCCCAGAGAUAACAGACUACUUUCCAAACGGUCUGAUGAGUUGGCUGUUAAGGAUUCUCUGGCUCUCAGUGUGCAGUGUGCAGGUUCUGUGUCUAAUAUGGCCCAACGCCUAUUUGCUCGAACCCGUCAAGUUGAAUCAUUGGCGGCUGAAGUGAUGAGUCUCAAACAGGAGAUAUUAGAGGGCUCAAGCAGAGAGAUAAACAGUUGCAUAAGCUCGCACAUAGCUAUGCGACAAACAUGAAGAGGAAGAUUAACCAGAUGCAGGAAUCUGAUGGUCAGAUUUUACUUGAUCAUCAGAGGUUUGUGGGUUUGUUCCAGCAGCAUUUGCCUUCGUCUUCUGGGGCUGUACCGCGUAAUGAAGCUCCAAAUGAUCAACCCUUGGCUCCUCUUCUUCCUGGAGUUCCGCCGAGUGGUGUGGCUUCAAACAGUCAACCUCCGACGCCUCUCAUUUCUGGAGCUCUGCUGAGUGGUGAGGUGGCACCUAAUCGUCCUUGAAGAUCCCCUCUUGUAAAUUUGAUUUGAUUUUUUUUUAAGUAUGUAUAAUGCAAAUUUAUGUAAAAUUUCCAGAAAAAAUAAAUAAAAACGGACUUUAUUUCUCUCAAUGCAUUUGUUUUGUUUUGUUUUUGUUUUUUUUGUUUUUUUGUUUUUGUUUUUUUUGUAAAUACAUAAUAACAUAUGUAUUUAUUUAUUUAUUCUUUUGUAAUAAAAUUGACUUUCUUUAAUAAAACUUUUAUAUUUUUCUUAUUUAUUUUGAUAUGACUGAACUCGAAAUUGAAUGUUCGAGCCGCCUACGUACCCUUCCAAAGAAGAGAUCAAGCCAUAACGUAGUUCAAAUGAGUGAUGAAUUUAAUAGUGAUUUUGAUGAUGAUUUUGCCGUACACAGUUUAUGCUCUUGUGGGCCAGGAGCUUUGGUGUUGCCUUUUAUGCUCGUGCAGACCAGGAGCGUUGAUGUCGCCUUUUAUGCUCGUGUGGGUCAGGAGCGUUGAUGUUGCCUUUUAUGCUCGUGCAGACCAGGAGCUUUGUGCCAUGCAGUUUAGACUCGUGCGGGCAAGGAGCUUUGGUUCGUGCAGUUUAGGCUCAUGCGAACAAGGAGCAUUGGUUCGUGCAGUUUAGGCUCGUGCGAACAAGGAGCAUUGGUGUUGCCUUUUAUGCUCGUGCAGACCAGGAGCUUUGUGCUAUGCAGUUUAGACUCGUGCGGGUGAGGAGAAUUUGUGAAUUUUGUCAAGCACUUUUGGAGAGGCGUUCCUUACAAUCUUCAUAGCAAGGAGCCUUGACCGAGUGAUUGAAGAAGUCUUCGGGAAAGAAGUCGCACAUCGUGAUGGCAACAGACGAUCUUUGUGUCGUAAUUUCAUCAUCUUCAACACGUUCACGUUGCUUUGAAGGUUGACAAGAGCUGCUUUGCCCCCUUUCCGAUUGGCGGACUUGUGGAGGAGACGUAUGCUUCUUGUGCCAUUUCUUAGGAGUGACUUGAGUCCAUCCUUCAAGUUUGCUUGUUUUGGAGGAUGCCCCCGGCGGUUGAGGUGAAAAUUUUGUGUUGAAAGAGCCAGAAGUGAUGGUGGUAUAGUUUGACUUCACCACAUCGUCAAGAUCUAGCUCGAUGAUUCCUUUCUGAGCCCACUUUAUGAUGAGAUCUUUCAGCACAAAGCACUUUUCUGUCGGAUGACUGAUGAAGCGGUGGAAUUUACAGUAUCUUGGACUGUUGGUACGAUUCAUCUCUUCCGGCCAUCUGCACUCAGGCAAACUGAUCACCUUCUUGUCCAACAGGUCAUCCAACAUGGCAACCACAUCAGAGUCAGGGAAUGGAUAAGUCUUCUCUUUAAGCUCCUUCAAAGUGCGUCUACGCAUCUCUUGAUCACGAAAAGCUUCGGUUUGAAUCGUUUUGCCUCGUGUGGAGAUUUUGACGGGAGAUGUGUUGACUGUCAUUGCUUCCUUGGUGGAUUUCCACGUAGCCUUCUCCACCUUUGUCUCAAGAAUUUUGUCGUUCUUGUAGUCGGCGAUCGGUUCCUUCUUCCCAUGAUGGGUGAUGCUCAACUCCAUGUCAUGGGCGUGGGUGGCCAAUUCCUCGAAGGUCCGUGGUUUAAUGCCUUGAAGGAUGUAUUGCAAACCUCAUUGCAUGCCUUGGAUGCACAUCUCGAUUGAAGAGGUCUCCGAGAGCCUAUCUUUGCAGUCGAGGCUUAGAGUGCGCCAUCUGUUGAUGUAGUCAAUGACCGGCUCAUCUUUCCAUUGCUUCAUACUUGUGAGCUCCAACAUGCUUACAGUGCGGCGGGUGUUGUAGAAGCGGUUGAGGAAUUCCCGCUCCAAUUGCUCCCAGCUGUUGAUGGACUCAGGCUCUAGGUCCGUGUACCACUCAAAUGCGUUUCUUUUCAGCGAGCGCAUAAACUGCUUGGCGAAGUAGUCCCCCUCCGUCCCCGCGUUGUUGCAAGUUUUGACGAAAUGUGCAACGUGCUGCUUUGGGUUUCCUUUUCCAUCAAACUGCAUGAACUUUGGUGGUUGAUAUCCCAUCGGCAUCUUUAGGGCAUCAAUCUUCUUUGAAUAAGGCUUUGAGUACAACCCGGAGGUAUUUGAGCUCCCUUCGUACUAUGCCUUGACGGUGCUGGCAAUCAUCUCUUGCAACUGUUGGAUAGAAAGAGAUCCCAUGAGUGCCGCUUCUUGGUCUGGCUCCGGCUUCACAUCGAUUUUCUCCACCGUAGGCUCAUCUUCUGGGUUAGGGUUCUCGCUGUCCUGUGGCUCCAGUUGACUGAUGAGUGCAGCGAUUUGCAAGUCUUUUUCUUCCACAGUUCGGGUUAGCCUUGCGAUUGCUUCAUUCAUUUGAGCCAGUUGUUCUUCGAUGGAGGUAACGCCGAUGGUCAUGACUUGUGCAACCAAUAGACGUGACUUUCCUUUAGACAUCCAAGAUGCUGAAGAAGAACGUCAUUGGUUGUUUUGGGAUGUCAUCUUGUGUGCCUCAGCAACAUGCUUUGGUGCCCCCAGCGAGGUCAGGUUGAUGACAGACUCACACCUUUGAUGCUCCCUUUGCUCUUUUAGCGGCACCAACUUUGAAGUGGCAUGUUAAGGAGCGGUUGUGGUGCUAAUGGAUUGUCCAUUUGCGGCAGAAGUGCUUAGGAUCCUUCCCUCAGUGAUUGCGAGAACGGCUUGUCCCUUGCUUGAUGCCAUUGAUUUUGAGGUGUGUUUGGAUUCCUUAAACGGAGAAAGAUAUGAGAGGUAGAGAUUGUCCCACCGGGCGUGCCAAUUUGUGAACACGAAAAUUUCCUGAAACGAAAGAGACAAGAACAACGUGCACAAAAUAAUAUUUUGGUGUUAAUGGAUUUGUUGGGUUACGAUCUCUUUUAACUUGAUCCUCUGAUUCGAUCUCCGUAAGGUGUUGAUUUAUGGAUGUUUCGUUGAUCUAAGGGCCGUCGAGGCUUGAUCUUGGAUGAACUGUUGGAAGUUUCUUCAAGGGGCCGUGGGCUUGAUCUUUGAAGGUGGAUUUGAGCGGAUCUUCAAGGAGCCGUUGGGGCUUGAUCUUGAGGAUGAGUGUUUCUUCAAGGGCCGUUAAGGCUUGAUCUUGAAUAACGGUGAUGAACGGAUCUUCAAGGGCUUUUGGGCUUGAUCUUGAAGAACGGUUGGAUGUGUGGAUUUGUUGAUGUUGUUGAUCCAAGGGCCGUCGGGGCUUGAUCUUGGAAGAACGAUGAACGAAGAACGAAGAACACUUUCUUCAAAGGCCGUCGGGGCUUGAUCUUGAAUUGGUGAUUGUUGAUCCAAGGGCCGUCGGGGCUUGAUCUUGGAAGAACGGUGAACGAAGAAUGAAGAACGAAGAACACUUUCUUCAAGGGCCGUCGGGGCUUGAUCUUGAAUUGGUGAUUGUUAAUCAAAGGGCCGUCGGGGCUUGAUCUUGGAAGAACGAUGAACGAAGAACGAAGAAGGCUUUCUUGAUUCUUCGGGAUGAACGGAUGAUGAACAAUGAACACUUUCUUCAAGGGCCAUCGGGGCUUGAUCUUGAAUUGGUGGAAGUUCUUCAGGGCCUUUGGGGCUUGAUCUUGAAGGUGGAUGAUUGUUGAUCCAAGGGCCGUCGGGGCUUGAUCUUGGGAUGAACAGUUGUGUGGAUUUGUUGAACACUUUCUUCAAGGGCCGUCGAUGCUUGAUCUUGAAUUGGUGGAAGUUCGUCAAGGGCCGUUGGGGCUUGAUCUUGAAGAAGGAUUUGACGAAGAACGAAGAGAGCUUUCUUGAUCCUUCGGAAUUUGCUUGAAUUUGGGAGGUUGGAUGCUUGAAAGCUUUAGAGUUUCAAAGCUUCAAGGAUUUUGGAUGUGUGGGGAGUAUUCUCUUACAUUUUGGGAGUAGAGAAAUGUAUUUGUGAAUUGGUUUUUGAUACCUUGAUGUAGAAGCCUAUUUAUAGGCUUUGAGAAUGAAUCACCACCACAAAAUAUUUUUUUCUUUUCCAAGCACCAUUGCCUAAUUUCCCACUUAAUACAAUUUUAAACUUGAAGUGGUAAUUUUAUGGCCUAAUUUUCCACUUAAUAUCAUUUUAAACUUGAUAUGUGCAUGCUUUGUCAUUGCCCAAAAUGAGAAGAAAACCUUGUUUUGAUCUUCAAUGGAUUGAAAUGUGCUUUGCCUUGUCAUUGCCCAAAAUGAGAAGAAAAACUUGUGUAAUCCUCCAAGGGUAUUUCUUUUUAUUUUGUUGAGUCACACACCAUGUGUACAAUUUGUAUGACACGUGGCAUAUGCCAUAUAUGCCUUGACACGUCAAAAUUUUAAUGCGUUGGUGAACAUUUAUUUCACCGCAAUUUCGAUGUCUACAAUUUCAUUUCUUGUGAAUAAUGUUUAUCCUGUGUUCUGUCCAAUCGCGUAUUAAAAAAUGUGUGAAGUUUGGAUUAACCACACUCUUUUAGAAUUUCCUUUAUUUACCACUUUUUGAGAAUUUCCAAUAAGACUGGGUGAGUCUCCGCUGAGAAUUUCCUCAACUAACACCACACUACUUGAGGGAUAAUUUGUUAUAUCUUUGAAUAAAGAAUAAAACAGUUUCCUACUUUUGAAGGUACUAUUAACUUACACUAUAUUUGGAUGAAGGUCAAACUUUAUAAAUUGACAUACACCAAAUUCUUUGUUUGGAUUCAUAAACAUAUAAAUUUAGAAUUUCCGCGUGGAAAAAAAAAAUACUUAGAAUUUGAGACCUCCAAUUCUCAAAUUGAAAGUUUAAAAAUAAUAAAUUCCGUAUUCAAUUCAAUUGUUCUUUUAGGUUAACCAAAUAAGAAAAUUCACAAAUUCUAAAAUAUAAAAUCUCAUCAUUUCAAUUUCCGUCAUUUUAAAAUUCCUUAGUAAUAUUAAAUUUCUUCAUCCAAACAUAGUGUUAAGAAAUUUUUUAAAGAUACACUAUUUACACUCAUUUUUAUUUCUUACACAUUUAUUAACUUUGUCCAUUGAUUUCUUCAAUUCAUUUUGCCAGUUAUACAAAAAUUGAGAACAGUAUUUAUGAAUUAAAAAUACAUUUGUAGAUGUCACUACCAAAUUUUUAUUCCUAAUUCAAGAAAAUCUUAUCCAUAUAUGAUUGCCCUUGCCCACUUUAAAUGGGUGCCAUCACUUUACGAUAGAGCAAUCCUAACCGUCCACCUAGGUAAGCAUAACUGGCGAUGCAUGUCGCAAGGGGACCGCAUUGCACAAUAUAAUUAUACUAGUUGAUAAGACAAGUGAUGUCAAUCAAUAAAUUAUUUCAUUAAAACUUAGUUGUAUGUAUCAUAUGUUGUAAUGUAGGGUGUAUGAUAUGCUGACGCUGUAAAAAAAUGUAACCUUUUUAAUAUUACUCAUAAUAGUAAGACUUACCAGUAUUAGGAUGUUAUCAGUGGAAUGAGAAUCCUCUCCAGAUCUUUUUUGUGAGCUAUUAUUUGUAUUUAAUUUUAAAUAUAAAAAAUUAAAAUAAUUUAUGACGGCAGUGAUUCACAUGAUCUUCACAAAGAGAAUCCAAAUAAUCUUAAUUUAUAUCAGUGUGUCUAGAUAACAUGAUCGAGCCCCUUUACUUUUACCCUAUUUAGUAUUUUACAUUUGAACCUGUAAAUAUUCGAUUUUUCUUUGGUGCAACCGAGCACCAAAUAUAGAUUUUUUUUCACUUUUAUAUAAUGAUAAAUAAAGGGCAAUUGGCAGAUUUGAAUUCCAUUCGGAUUGGUCAAAAAUCAUUUUAAAUUGUUUUAUUUAAAAUUAAACACAUAUAGUACUUAAUAAAAAUUAGUCGUACAAUAUACGAUAAACAGAUAUAAUGUAAGGACCUUUAUGAUCUUCACAAAAAAGAUCCAAAGGUUGUGUAGCUGUUUCAAAAGGAUAAUACUCACUUUUGAUUAGUUCAAUGAAAUUUUAAACAUGUUUUAUUGUUUUAAAAAAUAAUAAACAUAUUUAUUAAUGUUUGUUUUACUUUAAAAAAUAAGCAGCACUUGACAACAUUUGAUUGUGCUAAAUAAAAAAUGAGUGACCACUUAGUACUACAGUCUUAUGAUAUUUUUCUUCAUUUGAAAGUGAGAGGUUUUAAGUUCGAAUCUCGUGGAUGACGAAUUUGAUAUCAAAUUAGAUUGCUCACUAUGUGGCUUAGCCGAACUCUCAUUUCCUUUAAUGUAAAAAUAUUGAUGUAUUCAAAAAAAUAAAAAGUGACUAUAGAGGACACUCAAUCUCAGCUGUAUGAUUAAAUCAGACGGUAAGAAAAAUUCUGCAAGCAUACUCGGUUACAUUAAUUGAAGAAAAAAUGGGUAAAUAUUGGGCACCAACGUUAUAAAUACCCUCCACCAUGCACCCAACUCCCUCACACCAUCACAACCCACGUUACAAAUCCUCCUCCUCAUCAUAACCAUUCUGUUUUCCGCAUAAUAUCCAAAAACCUAUCAUGUCUGAAGAGAAACACCACCGCGGUCUCUUCCACCACCACAAGGAUGAAGACAAACCCUCAGACUACCCUCAGUCUGGCUACUCUGAUGAAGGACGUCCCGGCGGCCUCGGUGGUGGUUACGGCGACACCAAUGAUUAUUCUGGUGAAGGACGUACCGGCGGCCUAGGUGGUGGCUAUGGCGACACCAAUGCUUAUUCUGGUGAAGGACGUCCCGGCGGCUAUGGCGGCUAUAACGAGACCACUGCUUACUCUGAGGAAAGAGUUGAAAGACCCGGCGGUGGCCGGUACAGUGAGACUACUGCGGCAUAUGGCAGCACCACCACUCAUGAAUCUGAACUUGAUUACAAGAAGGAGGAGAAGCACCACAAGCAUCUCGAGCACCUCGGCGAGGCCGGUGUAGCUGCUGCCGGCGCUUUUGCCUUGGUACGUAUUGUAUUUUAACCCACCUCUAUAUAUAUAUAUAUUAGAAUAAUGCUAAUAAGACCAAAUUUUGAAAACUAAAUGAUGUGGUUGUUGAUAAUGAACUUAUUACUCAAGUCUUGAUUAACAUGCUUAUUUUCUAAUAGUGACACAUUAUUUGGUUUAGAAAUUUGGUCUUCCUAACUUUAUCAUUCUCAAAAUUUUCAUGAUUUUGAUAGGGUAAUACGGGAGAUCAAAAUUUCUAAACCAAAUUUGCAAACCAAUAGAUGAUUGGAUUAUUAAUUAAGUAUCGAUUGUUUGUUUCUUAUUAACGACAUAUCAUUUGAUUUACAAUUUAGUUAAAAAAAAUUUAUUCUUUCUGUCAUAUCCUUUUGAAUAUUUGAUCACUUUACUCUUUAUCACUUUACCCUUGAUCACUUUACCCAUACUCUUGCAACCGAAUCACCGUCCUCCUCCUUAACCUUCAUUUUUUUGUCUUACAGUACUCCAAUCUAUCAACUCUGUCCAUUGCAACUUUAAUUGUGAAGAAAAUUAAAGUCCUAUCGUAAAAUUAAUUAGUGAUAUGGAGAGUUGCGCAAUUAUUGAUGGACUAGGUAGGUAAGAUACGGAAUCAAAGUCUACCAUUAACAAUGGACGGAAUUGAUGAACCAUAUAGGUAUGUAAGAUACGGAAUCAAAGUCCUCAUGUAAAUGGUACAGUUGCAAUCAGGAGAAGAAAUGAGUUAACUGAUACCUUCGUAAUAGUUCAUGUAGAGUUUUGAUAUUAUUAAGCCUUAACCACCUGAUCUUAUAUAUACGAGGACAAAUCUAAUCAAAUAUGUGUUAAUUUCAAGGUUUGUUUUACAUUGAUGUGAGAUCGAUGCUAGCAAGAUAUAUAACUUAUGUCAGUUUCUAUAUGAUGUGUGUAGCAUGAGAAGCACAAUGAAAAGAAAGACCCAGAGCAUGCCCACAGGCACAAGAUAGAAGAGGAGAUUGCUGCAGCAGCUGCAGUUGGUUCGGGUGGAUUUGCCUUCCAUGAGCAUCAUGAGAAGAAAGAGACAAAGGAAGAAGAGGAAGAGGCUUAUGGAAAGAAGAAGCACCACCACUUCUAGAUCUAUGUGGAUUGUGGAACAUCAUCUUUUGACUACAUAUGCAAUGUUGUGUUUUUACUAGUUAUCAUGUGGUGUGAUCAGUGAGAGUGUGAUGCUUAAUCUCAACAAUAUCGCUACAAUAGUUGAGUGGUUAAAUGUCCUUUUCAAUUAAUGGGUGCUAUCUGGUUUUCUUUUAGCAUGCCAUCUAUGUAUGUAUGUAUGUAUGUAUGUCAUUGUUAUUGUUCAUAAUAAUACUGUUUACUCGGUGUUUAUUUCCUAGUGGCCACAUCUCAUUUUAAAUGAUUUCUUCAUACCAUUAAUUUUUUAAAUGUAAAGACUCAGUAUCCAUAUAACUACGAAAAUUUUUGACAAAACAAAAACAAGAAAAAAGAAAAGGAAAAAAUGGCUUAGCAAGUUUGUAUCCUAUAAGACAAAUGGGUACGUGGAACGAUGGACAUCUCACAAUGGUUUUUGAAUCGUCGGAUCAUCAUGGUUGGACUAUAUAAUUAUCAUUGAUAUAAUAUAAAUUUUGAUUUUUUUUUAGGAAAUUAAUAUCUGAAAACAAUAUUGAUGUACUGCAUUUGUUUUGGACGAUAUUAUACUUUAAUCCAAAUUUUGAGAAAAAAAAAACAUAUCGAACUCAGGUGUACAAGAGUGGCUUUGCUACCCAUGUACAGGGCUAGUUCUGAGUUUUUGGGUGCCCAGUGCGAAAGCUCAAAAUGUGACAUUUUUUAAUACGAAAACAUAUAUUAAAAAAAAUAUUUAAUGAGGGCUGGAACCCAGUCGAAGCUGGAGGGCUAGGACCUCACGCCCAAAUUAUAUUACUUGAGAAAAUAUACAACUGAGGAGGGGACAUGGUACCUAAACCCCGACAAUCAAAAGUACAAUCAUAUACAACCACUCCUAGCAAAUCUCCUUCAAAUUUCAACCUUUAAGAAAUUGUCUUCUGGCAUUUUUUGAAGCAAAAUCAUCAAUUAUAUCAUCAUACUCCAAGUCUUCAAUCUCAUCAUUUUCAAUGCAUAAGAUUGCUAAUCCAUUUAGCCUAUCUUGAGUCAUAGUGGUCCGCAAGUAAGAUUUUAAUAAUUUCAAUUUUGAAAAACUUCUUUUUGCAGAUGCCAUGGUCACAAGUACAGUUAACAGUACACGAUAAGCAAUCAAGACAUUAGGACACAUGUCAGUUUCUUUUACAAAAUUUGCUAUUUCCAUGGAUGUCCAAGGGUUAUUAGAGAGAAAUGCUUCUUCAGGUAAUAUCAUUUGCAAAACCUGCAAUUCGGAAUAUAAGUCAACUCCAUCUACAUCCAUGGUAUUUCCAUGUUUCAAAUGUGCUUCAAGAUUCAUACAAUUUUCUUUUAGCUCUUGAUCAUCCAAUGAAAUUAACUUUGGUGCAUCAAACAAGAAGCCAAAAAUAGAUUCAAAGGAUUUUAACUGUUCAAACUUGUGUUUCAGUUGAGAAAGAGCAAUAUCCACUAUAACAAGAAAAUAAUAUUUCCUAAAUGAUUCUUUAGCAGAUUAUUGUUCCCUCUCAUUACCAUCAACUUCAUCAUGAUGUCUUUUUCUAGGUCUAUGACAUUUAGUUUGAAAAAACAGGGUCAAUUUCCAAAUCAAGUGCAAUUUCAUUAGCAUCACUCAUGGCGGAAGCAAAACCAGUUUCUCUGUAGUUUCCAAAAAAUGUAACAAAUGCUUCAAAUGCCUUUACAGCAACAUCAAGACGCAUGUCUUUAGAUUGUAAUUUUAUGCUCACCAUGUUAAUCUUCAACAAAAUGUCAUACUAAAUAACCAAACUUAAUACAAAAUCAAAACUUGAAAGUUCGCCUGAUGCUAAACAUCUUGCAUCCCUACUUAAUUGAGGAUUUUCAGUAAUUUCCACCAAUUAAACAAAGCAUUUCUAACCUGGGCUACUUGAGACUUAAUUGCUUUAACAUUUUCAAUGUGACUUUCCCAUCGAGUAGUUGACAAUGACUUCAAAGUUAAACCAUCAAUAUGUUCAACCAAAAUAUUCCAACGCUUUGUAGAGUUGGAAAACACCAUAUAUAUGCAUUGACAUGCUCUAAAAAAAGAUUUUGCUUUAAGACAUGAACUUGCCAUAUCACAAACUAUUAAAUUAAGCUAAUGAAAACCACAUGGCAUGUAAAAGGCUAUGGGAUUUAUGUCUAACAAUCUUUUCUGGACAACUUGGUGUUUCCCUCUCAUGUUAGAUCCAUUAUCAUAACCCUGUCCCCUCAUAUCAUCAAUAUCAAGGUCUAAAAUAUCGAUAUUAUCCCGAUAUUUCUUUCGAAAUUUCUGUGUUUUUGGAUUACCGAUAUUUCCGAUAUCAUCGAUAUUUUAGACCUUGAUAGGAACUCUAUGUGAUACUAAGUCACUCAUGUAUCUUACCAUGCAAUGUAUAAAGUGUAAAAUAUUGUAUUAAUUCAUUAUAUAUAAAUGAUUAUGGUGUGUUUAACUUCUUUCAUUAAUUACUACAUAUUUUCUACACUCAAAAUGUUUGUCAGCUCACUAUAUAAUCAACUUAAAUAAGUUAAAUCCAUCAUGAAAUGCAUUUCGUUCCAAUUUUUUGUAAUAAACUAGUAGAUAAUUGACUAAAUAAACAUCCUGCAAAGUUUCAAUAAAAAUUUCCAAGUUUUUCUUAUAAUUUCCGUGGUUUUUAUUCAAUUUUUAUCGAUAUCGAUAAUAUCCCGAUAUUUCCAUCAAAAUUUCCGUAUUUUUGGACUAUCAAUAUUUUCGAUAUCAUUGAUAUUUUAGACCUUGAUCAAUAUCAAGAUCAAGAGAUUUUAGGACAUCUUGCAGCUCGUUAAAAAGCCCUUGUCCUAAUGUAUCUUUCACACUUAAAAACUCCAUGAAAUACUCCCUUAUAUUUAUUGACCUACUUGACAAGUCAACACAUCACAAAAUUAAAGUCAUCUGUUCCACAUGACUUGCAUUAGGAGUACAAUCAAGAAUGACAAAAAAAAAUUUGGCUUCUUUUACUUUUUUAAUGAUUGCGGUUUUGACUUUUGAAGCUAAAGUAGCUAUCAACUCAUUUUUGUUGGAAAUGUGCCCUAAAACCAAUCAUAUGAUGAUACUUUACGAACGUUUCACAUGUUAAACUAAUAUAGUUUAAUAUAAAGGGCAAAAAUUAUUGUUUGUAGCCGUCUCAUAUAAAUGUUAUACGCUUAAACGAUAAGUCCAAGGAAUAUGUAAUUGGGAGAAUGCGAUCUAAAGAAGUUAGAUUCAUGAGACCAUUCUCUUCCGUAUACAUAUCCUAAACGUUACUGAUCAUAGGAUUGUCAAUUGGGCAUUGAUAGUCUGUUAAGAUCAGUACGUGUUAUGUCUUCUCUUAAGGAGAGUGACUGGUCUCGAGUCAUUGGUGUGACUGACACCAAGACAAGCAUGUAGGUGCUCAAUAGAGAAUGAGUCCACUGAACACGAUCAACAAGGAGUUCUCAUACUCAUGUCACAUGAGAACUCGUGGUUGGAAUAAUGCAAAGUAGUCAUUUGACCUGAGGCAUCAUAGUUGUCUUGUGGUUAGGUCCUUGAUCUUUGACUAUGUCAAAGUCACUCCGUCAGAGGGUGUCCAUUGCAUAGUUGGGGUUAAGCCACUUAGCCAUGGAGGCAAGUGAAUGCACAAUAAGGGAUCUCUAACCUUCAAACUAUUUGAGGGAGAAUACUCUAUGAUAUGAUUAAGAAUCUCUGGCCAGAGUAUGAAUGAUAUUUAAGAAGUCGUUCCAAAUCACAUUCAAGGUAAUCAUAUAAGUAAGAGAAUCACAUUGGAUAGUAGACAUGAAUAAACUAUCAAACCAAACAAUGUGGUCAAGAGUAUUGUAUUAGAGUAAGACCGUAUUGCAUUGUAAUCCUAAACUAAAUAGGUUCUCCACCUCUUCUGAUCAGCUUGGGUAACCAUGACAUACUGCUAGGUGUUACUCAUGAUUUGUGGAAGCCCUAAACGUGUAUAAUCACUAAAGGGAGAAUUGAAAGUAAGUUUCAAUUUACAAUCGAUUUGAAAGAGUUCUAAUCGCUCACUGCCUCGCUAAAAGGAACCUAAUGGAUCGUACACCGUGUAAGGUAGAGAUUGAAAAAACAACGGAGAUAAGUAAGGACAAUUAAAUGGUUUAAUUGUUUAUGACAAGAAUUAAUUAAUAUGUUAAUUAAUCAAACGAAUAAGUUCGGGUUAAACCUUGAGUUAGUUUUGGGCAUUAAAGCCCAAAUUGGGCUUCGAAUCUUCAAACCCAUUAGCUUAAGUUGUAUGACAACUUAACAAACAAAAUUCAAGAAGCCCAAAACAGCCCAAAGGCUUGGGAAAACCAGCCAUAUAGAGAGGGGUAGUGAACUUGGCUUAAUUGCAAGUUUGCCAUUCCAUUGUGAGGUGGUAUAAAGGCAACUUUAUAGCCAUUUCAUCCUUAGGGUUUCUUUUGGAGAAAAGAUGAGAACACAAGCUCCCUUUUCUCUCUAAGAGGCUGGCCACCCUAGAGGAUUUUAGCUAGCAAUCUUACUUCCUCUAGGUCACUCAUCUCUUCUUCAAGUCAUUCCUUGGUGUGGAGACUUAGAGGUUCCUUUCAACCAUCUUCAUCCAAGAAAUCCAUGGAGCUAAGAAGCAAGGAAUGAAGGCCCUCGCCUUGGGUGAUUAGCCUUUGCUUAUGCAAAGAGGAAUCAACAAAGGUAUAAAAUUUCUCAACUCACUUUGUUCUUGAGUUGAGUCUUGGUUCACAUAACUACUAGGCUUUGAAUUUCAUGGGUAAUGUUUUGUUUUGAGUGCAUACAAGCAUGAUUCCGCCUUUAAUUGUUAAUUGCAUGCCAUAGAUGUUGCUCAAAUGAACAUGUUUCUCACAAAAUUUCCUUCAAUUUUGAAUUUUAUGGCUCAAAUAGUGAUGAUGAAUCUCUUUAUUCUCAAUAAGUCGAAAAUGCUAUUGCAUUAUUGGAUCAAACUCCGCAUUCAUUUCAAGUAAACCUAAGAAGUUGCCAUUAGAGUCUUCAUAAAGUCUUUCAUUUGUUCCACGAAAUGCUAAAUUACGUAUGGCAAGACAUUUCAUAACAUCAAUAAUUCUAAGCAUCACUUGUUUCCAAUGAUUUGGCUCUUUCUUGAUUUGCAUUUGAAAUUCUUUGUCAAUUGUCUGAUUUUUUGUCAAUCUACUUUUCAACUCAACCCAAGUUCUCGAAUUAAUGAGAUGCUCUUUACUCUUUUCAUAUUGGUCAAGCUUCUUACCAAGAUGUCUCCAAUCACUAGUUCCAUCUUUUGCUAACUCACUUUUUGAGGCAAUUAUUUUAAACAAUUUACAACAAAAGCAAAAGACUUUAUCCAACUCUUUUGAGUACACGAGCCAUUUCCUAUCGUAAAUUUUACCCGUUCGUAAUUUUCGAUCAUAGUAGUGUGAGGAAAAUUUUCUAGAGAAUUUGUCCUUAGGAUAAGUGAAUUAGUUUCUCAAAUUGGUCCUUUUUCUACAAGUAAGUCUCUCAUUUUUGCAUUAAGACCAUCCCAAACUAUUGGAUCAUAAAUGUCUAAAUGAAAAAUAGGUUCAAGAGAUUCAAUAUUUUCUUCUACACCAAAAUGAUCAUCAUCAACAUUUAAAUCCACAUCACCACCAUUUUCAUGAUCUUGAGACUCAUCACCAACAUUUUCCUCUAAAUCACCACAAUUUUCUUGGUCAUGAGACUCGUCAUUAACAUCUUUCUCCACAUAACCACAAAUUUCAUCAUCAUGAGACUCCCCAACAAUAUUUUGUGACUCUUCACCAACAUCAUUUUCUCUCAAAUUUUCAACCGACUCAUUCUUUAUAGAAUUUUUUUUAUUAAGAGAUCCUCUUAAACUUUAGGCAAUUUCGUUAUCCUUUGCCUUUUUUUUCCUUUUCAUAUUACUAGAGAGUUAUUUUCUAAAAGACAUGGCUUUGAUAAUUUGUUUGCAAAAAUUACCUACAUAUGAUAUAACAAAAAUUUCCUAUUAAAAUUAUCAUCAACAAUUCAAAAAUUACCUACACAUGAUAAUCAAGAAUUCAAUUCAUCAACAACAACAAUUCUAUACAUCAAUUAUCAUAUAAUUCUGUCACUUGCAAAAUUUAUAUUAAAUUAUGAAUUAAUAAUUCAAAUUAAAAAAUUAGUUUACCUCAAAACUCAAAAGGGUUGUUGAAUGCAAGGACUUGUGGGCCUGUGGCUGUCGGGUUUGGAAGCUGUAGCCUGCAGCAGCGCAACAAAUUAUCAGACGGUAAGGGCUAGGGCAGUGGGGUAACAAUGGGGUGGGGAAUCGGGAAAAAGGGGAACUUAGGGUUAAUUGGGGGGGGGGGGGGCGGGGACGAGUGGUCCCCUUGUGUUGUUAUUUUUUAUUUUUUUAAUGGCCAAAACCUGGGCUGGUCUUUUUUUUUUAAUUUUUUUAUUAUUUAUAAAUGCCCAAAACCUGGGCCGUUCCCUUCAUUUUCAAACUUGGGCCUCUUGCCCUCUAGUUCUUAUUUUGGGCUCUGGACAAAUUUUUUUUAUACCUAAUUAUUUGGACUUUUUUUUUGGUGCCCCUUUCAAUUUUGGGCCUUGGAAUGGCCCUGGUUGCACUGGGCCUGGGCCGGGCCUGCCCAUGUAUAUGUUAUCUUGUGAUUUGACAAGUCAUAUGUAUAUCAUAUCAAUUUUAUCUCAAUUGUGGUGAUGGUACAUAAUACUUACUACAUCGUAUGGCAACAAAUAAAUAUGGGCAUAAAGAUAAAUAGAAUGGUAUCAGUAAAUUAAGGUCUUCACAUUACGAUUAUAUUUAUCUCUAUUUUUAGUGGAAAGUUUUAAGGAUAAUUUUUUUUCUGCCUCCUACAUGGGUCUCGAUUCUCCUCUACGGUAAAAAUCCGUAUGUUUUAAAUAUUGAAAAGUUAAUUUAGCCCAAAUCCUUGCCUAUUUUAGGGAAAAUAAAAAAAAUUCAUUUUUAACCCUUUGAUUACUUAUAUCACCUAGUAUAACCUUUUUUUUUGUGUGAUACAAACAAAUAUUUUUGUUUGGGCCCAAAAUAUUAUUUUAGGCUGAGCUUAGGUCAUUCUCGGCCUAGUGGCAUUCAUUUAGAAUUUUGUUAUGGGCCGUCCAGUUAAGGUCAGCCGAAUCCUAUUAUGAAAAGGUUUGGUUUGGAUAAGGGUGAGUUGGUCGAUACUAGUGCAACAAGGAUUCUGAAGACUAAGGACAUUGAGAAUUAAAGGGUGAAUUUGGUUUGUUAAGAAGCUUGGUUCAAAGUCCUACAGGAAUUAGGAUUGGUUGAAACCUGAUCGGAUUGGGUUGAGGAGUUCUAAUCCUAGUCCAUUUCUAGUUCGGCUAUGAGGGGAUUCAUUAUUAUAAAUAGAGAAGGGAGUGCAUCAUUCAAAGCCCCUCCAAUUCAACACACAAAUUGCCUUGUGCAAAGCUUCUCAACAACCUUUGAGAUUUUAUCCACUUCCUCUUUCUUUUGCCAACACAUCUUCAGUUUGGAUAAAUAGCACUGUGAAGGCAACCGUCGACAUCUUCAGUUUGGAUAGACUGCACUAGAGCCGUAAAAUUAGCCGACCAAGGAGCACCUUUAGUUUGGAUGGACAACACUGCUUUGAGGCCGACUGGCUAUUUAUUCAAGUCUCGGCUGAGAAGGAUUUUCAAAUCCUUGUUGGUAGAGGUCAUCUCGUCAGCCUUCUCGGCAAAGUGAGGUGUUACAGGUUUCUGGGCUCGGCACAUUGAACGUUGAGUUUUGUUUUAUGAUUAGAUACUCACAAGUAAGUUUUAGAGUUUGGCAUUCCGAUGGCCGAAUCACAUUUACAAUCAAGAUAUAUAUUUCUUUCGAGUAUUUGUGUCUGUAUAGUUUGGUACCAGUUCGGCAUGCUUAUACUCUCACGAAUAUAAUCACUAUGAUCGAACCUGAUGCCGAUGAUUUGUGAACUUCAUAGAACUAGCAACCUUGUCUUCAGGCAUUAUAAUCCAAAGGCCGAGACAUGUUCCUUCAUCGAUCGCAGUCGUAAGAUCGAGAAGUCAGCAGCGCGCCCAACGAGACAUCAACACAUUCUAUUCCUCGACCGAGUUGGCACGCCCUGCACAUAACUGAAGGACGUAGUUAGCUUAUUAGUUACUCAGCCUAUGCGUCACGUAGGCUUCAUAGUUUUUAGUGUCAACAUUUUGGCAUGCCCAGUGGAACCCAGUGUUAAAGCUACGAAGUUCAUGACCAUUGAGACACGGUCAGUAAAAAAGAAACCAGUAAUGGGAAAGUUGACAACUAAUCUUCCAGUCUAAAACUCAUGACAAGAUGGGUUGUUAUAGACACAGAUUCAUGCUGCUGCCAUGACACCUGAAGCCACAAGUGCGACAUGCCGAGAAAAGGAAGUGAAUCUUGGCAAUCAGCCUUGUGGUGCAGAAAUCCCCACCAAAACGACAAAAGGCAUUUUUGUUGAAGGAAUAGUGGAUGAUUAUGACGAGGACGGUGGUAAGGCCUCUGAUCCACCAACCAGGUCGUUUUUUCGACGACGACUUGAAGAGUAAUCUUGACAACUUGAGCAGAUGUUCAGCCGAGAGAUAAAAAAACAUAUUUAAAGAAAUGCGUGAUAAUAUCGCUGUACAUAAUUUAUUGCUCGAAGUUCUGGUUAGUAAAGUCCAUGACAUUGGACCCACCAAUCGAUCCAGGCAUCAUUUUUUCAGGAAUAACCCACUACCAAUAGUACAGGUCGAGACAUAAUCCACUUGGCUCAAAAUGAUUAACUUACAGAAAAGUGGUGGGUUAAUCAGCAGAUCAAACGGAUUCGACCAGAGAGCGGAAACGACAUAUGUUGAUAUGGUUGAAGUUUAGAGAAUGAUUGAUUCGGCCUUGAAAAAUGGGCCAAAGUUUCCAAAAUUCAUUCACCCAU
This 55173-nucleotide long non-coding RNA is filed under the name Malus domestica (apple). Its description in RNAcentral is "long non-coding RNA (MDOM_LNC004302)". Lineage: Eukaryota; Viridiplantae; Streptophyta; Magnoliopsida; Rosales; Rosaceae. The record is from RNAcentral.